This 45825-nucleotide long non-coding RNA is filed under the name Lactuca sativa (garden lettuce). Its description in RNAcentral is "long non-coding RNA (LSAT_LNC008664)". The record is from RNAcentral. Lineage: Eukaryota; Viridiplantae; Streptophyta; Magnoliopsida; Asterales; Asteraceae.
GGUAUAUAAAGAAGUACUUCAUAUUUAUAUAUGUCACACAUAAGGUGUGUUACAUUAUGCUUCAUGUUUUAGGAAAUUUUCGACCUAUGUAGAGGUCUCCGAUUACAGAUACAAAGGAAAUAAGAGAAAAACUUUAUCCGAGGUCCUAUGCUAUAUCAAAAUUGUUGGAGUUGAGCAAGUUCUACUUGCGGCGUGUUGAACGUUCGGAGCUGGAUUCUGCAUCUGACUGCUUGACCCCCAUCAGGCGCCUUUCAAAAUCUGCUUGUUGUUCUUUCACCUCUCUUAUUUAUGCUAGUGCUGUCACCAUUUGAUUCUAAAGCGUCCCUGUGUAAAUUUGGGUAUUUUCAUGUAGUCCUUCCAGACGACGGAUGUCUGCGGCAUUACCCUGUGUAGCAGCAUUGAUCUCACGAACUUUGGCUACUUGCUUGUCCGCAUGCUAGUUCUGGGUAGCUAAAGUGCCCACAAUAACAAGAAGUGCUCGAUCAGCUGAGCCUCCCCCACUGACAUUAUAAAAAAUCUCGACACAUGCCAAAAGGAGGGCGUACACCUAGUUGGCGGCUCCAGUAAUAGAGGUGGCUUCCCCACAUGGGAAUGGGUCCNGGAUGGGAGGGUCGUACACUUCUGGCUCGGAGUCUGUCCCGCUAGAAAUCUCCUCGAUCUCUUCGUCGACUUCGAAUUCCUCUCCGACUUCGACUUCGAAUUCUCCCUCGAUAACCCCUUCGAGUUCUUCCUCGACCUCUUCUUCGAUUUCCUCUGGGUCUUCCUCCGGGUCUUCUUCUAUCCGCCCGCCGUUGCCUUGGUUUGGGUAGUAGGGAUCUCCCGGUAAAUGGAAUCCGGUCAUUUGUCUGUACUAGGAUAGAGGUAUGAGAAUUUCAUAAGAAAAGAAAUUUCUAUUUAACGACUUCCUACGUUUAACUAUAUCCUUACGGAGCGCAAGUGUUUCAUUGUACAAUUAUUUUUAACAAUACUCCUAUAGUAUUUCAAAUUGGCGAAUCUAAAAUAAUUUGUAUUUGGUAAGUUUUUGGCUUGUUGUCCACUACGACCAUUCCUCGACGUACAUUGGUCAAAUCCAGGAUAAAUAUAGUUGAUCAGGCUAUAUUUAUUCUCGAUUUGAUUACAUACCCCGAGGCCCAAUCGUAGUGUCGCAACUUGCCUUAAUACUUUUUAGAAAACUUGUCAUGAUACGAGACUGAUACAUGCGAGUAAAAAUGUAUAUUUUUAAAAGAAAAUAUAUUGUUUAUGAAAACGUUUUGUCAGAGGGUUUUUGGUCCCCUUUGCAUUUAUAGUUUGUAUAUCUUAUGUGGUUCGAUAUACUUAGUUCACUAUAAACAAUGCUCUGAUACCAAUCUGUCACACCCCCAAACCAGAAUGGCGGAAACAUUCGGGGGUGGAUGACUUCACGUAGUAUCACAACAAUUGAAUAUUGUAAAGAAAGUAACACAACCAUCAUAUAUAUAAUAAAAACGUAUAUUGUUGCGUUAUACAUAUUUGCAAAAGAAUAUUACAAUAUGAUGAUAUAAAUGUUUAAUAAUAAACGUCCUUAGCGUUCCUUCUUCAAAAGCUGGUGGUUACCUGUAUUACUGAUUCCCUGAGAAAUACAAGUGGUUUCGAAAAAGUGUCAACAAUUAAGUUGGUGAGUUCAUAAGUGUUUUGUAUUGAAAAGUAUGUCCUUUUGGUAGAAAAUCGAUGAACGAGGUUUUCAGAAAAUCCAAUAUUUUCUAUAUAUAGUUUGAAAAGUUCCCAAAGUUGGAGUGCGUUAGUAUUUUUCGUACUUGAAUGAUAAAGAUAAACUUUGUGCUCAAAAUAAUGUAAAUACUGAAUGCAUAUAUGAAUCUCGUAAAUCAAACUUGUUUUUAUACUUUCAUGUGAGUCUUAUAACCAUACUAUUGACACAGACUGCCUGUAACAACAUUCUUCAGGUGUUGUAGUGUUAUGACAUUUGUCACCCCAGACCUGCCGGUCUAACUGUAGCUAACAGUUUAGGUGCGGGGUUGUCAAUCCCGUAUAGAUCUAUACACAAGUAUCACGCUCUCCCUCCAAGAGAUUAUGGUAUAUAAUACAGGACUUGAAAUGCAUACAUAAGAGUACGUUGAAGUUUGAAUAUCUCACAUCACUUAGUAUAAAUAGAUUUACGAUAAGAAAGACUUUACUUCAUUUUUGUUGAAAGUAUUUCGUUUUUUUUUCCAAGAUGUAUACGUAAGAAUGUAUGAACGACUUGCUAACUAUACCCAUUAUAGUUUUUCAGAAAGUAUGUUCCAUUUGGUGAAAAUAACUUGAUGAUAUACUAACCCUUAUACGUAAAGUAAGAUGUUGGUAUCAAUAAUUAAUAAGAUAAAUGUUGCAUUUAUGUUUAUAAAACGAUACUUUUACUUGUAUUGUACUUGUAUUCCCCCCCCCCCCCUAAAACAUGAAAAGACUUGAAAUGUAGGGGUAUGAACUCACUUGUUUGGUUUGAAGAGAGUGGGGCUAGAGUCGAGCAGAACUUCAACCGCGGAAAGCUGCGUCUUCGAGCUCUUCGGGGAUCUCGGUAGCGUAGAAUCUUCGUCGGGGACUCGGGUGCGGAAACCGAGGGCAUCGGGACAGCUUCUGGAGCUUGAAAGUAUGAGAGAGUGACUGAGAGUUUAGACAAGGUGUGCUAAAACCCGUAGCUCAUGCCUUCUAUUUAUAGUGCUGGAAAGUCGAGUACGUUGGGCGUAACACCAGAGUACGCUGGGCGUACGCGUUACGCUGGGCUUACUUCUGUUAUGAUGGCCGUAACUUUGCAUCAUGGCUUACGACUCGAAUCUAGCUAGGCGUAGAGCUGCAGCCGAUGGGACUCGACCCUGCUCCUAAGUACGCUGGGCGUACUCCUAUAUUACGCUGGGCGUAAUCCCGACUUCCGUCUUCUAAAUUCCGUAACUUUCGCGUACGGGCUCCGUUUUUCGCGUUCUUUAUAUCCAUGCGUAGAUGAGAUUAUGCUCUACAACUUUCAUUUAGACUCCGUUGGCUAGUUUUGAUUUUAUUUUUAAUGAUCUGUUUUUAAUAGGUCGGGACUGUUAAAGUUCGUUAAAAAUUCAUAUCUUCUUUAUUCGACGUCACUUUUCAUUUGUCUUUUUAUCAUUUUACUCCUAUUGUGGAGGUCUUCAACUUUCGUUUAGGUUGCGAUAGCUAAAUAACGCUCGAUCUUCAAUUAGAGUUUUUAUCCCUCUACUACUUGUUACGAAACUUAGAAAAUUCAUAACUUCUUCAUACGAGGUCCAAUUUGGGCGAUCUUUUGAUGUAUGUUUACAGUUUAACGAACUCUACAACUUUUGUUUAAAUACUUAAGGCUAAAACGCAUUUUACUGUAAUUUCACUUUUUACGUUAAAUAAUAUUUUAACGGUGUGCCGUAAAUAUUCGCGUGGUUAUAAUUUCUUCAAUAUAACUCUGUUUCAAAUGUUCUUUAUGUUUUUGGAAACCUUGGCACGAUAUCUAAUAUUUGAUGCAUCCCAAUUUAGAUAUUUGAACACUUUAUUUUUGAGGUUAAUUUCGUUGAUUCCAAAUAGUUUUCGUUGUAUUUGACUUUUGAGUGUUACAUCCCUUUUGGAAAAUAUGGGGGUGUCAUAGUGUAAUUCUCAAUUUUGAUGAUAUAUGCUAAAUUUAAGAAAAUGCCUUGAUUGUUGUGAUGAUUUGUAGUUGUAAUAUGCUUUAGAUAAUAAAAUAUGAUGUACAUGCAUAAUUACAUGAUAAUGGUCAGUUGUGUGUUAUCCAUGUAAGUGAAGUAAUUAAUUAUUAAUUAAAUAAUAGUAAUGGUAACACAAUUACACAUGAUAAAAGGGUAGAAACCUAACUUUAGGUGAAUGCCUUUUUGCAAUAUCGAGACAGAAGGAUAUCAAGGACAAAGAGAAUAAGCCAAGACCACGUCGAGUGGUUUUUUGGAUGACCAUUUCGAGUUAUGGUUCGAGUUCAUUAAGGUUCACGAGACUGGAGUGAUGUUGGCCAUUUCGAUCGGGGCUGGAUCAAGCAUCACGUUGUUACAAGUUGGUAUCAGAACCAUGCUGUGGGUGAAUAAAAUACUGGCUUCAAUAGGUGCUUUAGGAUCUUAAAGGGGAGGAUGUGUGCUGAGAGUUAUAUGUUGUUUGGUUAAUUCCUUUGGGACUCUUAAUUCUUUAUGAUUUCGAAACAUCCCCACUUAUUUCUCCUGGACCAUGUAAUCGUUAAUAUCGCUUGAUGUUAGGGGAAUAUCUCAUGACCCACAAGCUUAGUUAUCCCAUAGCAUUCAUAUUUUGAAUAGUGUUGCGCAUAUCGAGGAAAUGGAAGGUUGUCUUAACGUGAUGAUUCGACUUUACGUGUUCAACAAGCCCUACAAGUUGUUGGUUUAUCAUUGGUCAGUGGCAGACCUAGAAGGGUAGCAUUAUUUGGUCUAAGAAUGCAAGCGGGUUACGGAAUUUAGAAUGAAAAAUAGGACUAAAAUUUGUAACCUAAACCAUUGAGACAGGAGACUUCGUGGUAAUGGUAGUAGAAAAUAUAUAGGUGUGAAUGUUAGUAUUCGCCAAAUACUAUCAUAAACACAUUCUAUAUUUGGGAUGAGAAGAACCAUGAAGAAACCUGAGGAUCUAGCAGUUAGUAUUCAGUUUUGGAAUAGUCGUACGUAUGGUAGACCUUUUUGUCAUUGUUUUCUGUUGUGCUCAUUUUUUUGUACCUUAAAGUCCGUUGAUUUCGACGUUAGAUAGUAAUGCAGCUUUGGGAGACCUAGUUUCGGUGUAGGAAAAUGUUUGACGCAUGUGAAAUCCUUGUGAAUGACCAUAUUUUUUCCUUAACAUUGACUUCCUUUUGGAAUCUAGUCGUUUGAUAUUGUCAUUCGUAUGGUUUGUCUUUCCACCAAACAGACCAAAAUUCUUUCCCUCGAAAAGCAUGUGCAUAUUUCGCUUGUCGAGGAUGUGUAUGUCUAUGGGGGUAAAAUUAUGUUGUAGCGACUAUUCCUAUAAAUGCUAGGAUGAUAGCACUCAAGUGGCCAACAAGGUCAUGUGAGGUUUUCUUGACUCGUGUGAUUGAGAGUUCAAGGAACACGAUGAGUGUCUUCGAUGUGGAUCAUGGUAGGGAAUAUAGAGAUGUCUUUCCUUGAUGAGUUGUCGAGUGUAUAAACACCAUGUCAGGUAGAGAUCUUGUUUUGACCUUAUUCCUGGUGUGGCUACUAAAUCCAAAACAAUUUUUAUGUUGGUUCGUUUCGGAAUGAAGGAAAUGAUGACAUAGCUUCACGAGUAGUUCGAGUGUAGAUUAUUCGACCGAGUUCCUCGUCUUGGGGACCGCUGGUCCAAUUCGAUUAAAAGGAAAGACGAUGCAAGCGGUCAGGUAUCAAUUAUAUAACAUUGAAUAAGAUCAAGAUAAUAACAAGUAAGUAUCAACAUCCUAUUUUGGUUUGGGGUGUGAUCAUGCAACAAAGGAAGGUGAUUGUGUCCGCUUUUUGAGGAGAGAACUCUAAGGUUCAUUUCCAUCAUUUGUGCUUUGUAGUGAGCAAGUAUCUAGUGAAGAGAUGCAAGGUUUCCCUUGGCUAAUGUGAUAAAGGGAUAAAGGUAAUCGAUGGCUAUUAUUUGUGGAAGUGGACAAGGAGUUUCAACAGUAGACUAUGGAAGAGUGUUAUUGAAAAGUAAUAAUUCGACGAGAAAUACUUGUUUUCACAAUAGAGACAAGUUAAGAGACAGAUGCCUUGCUAUUUGACAAGUUGUGAGCCGUCAAUUUGAUACACGAGAAAGAGAUUUGGUAGAUAUCUUGGCUAGAGAAUGAUGAAGCAACGUUGAAUGAAAUGAUUCAAUCUCAUCAAAGUCCAACGGAAGGAUGGGUACGGGUCAGAAGUUGUGACAACCCGAUAUUUCAACUCUUUGUAACGACCAAAAAGGGUNNNNNNNNNNNNNNNNNNNNNNNNNNNNNNNNNNNNNNNNNNNNNNNNNNNNNNNNNNNNNNNNNNNNNNNNNNNNNNNNNNNNNNNNNNNNNNNNNNNNAUAUAUAUAUAUAUAUAUAAUACACAUUGUUGGACUUAUCUGAUGCCCCUAAAAUUUUGCUACCUUGAGCCUAAGCCCAAGCCGCCCAUGUAUUGAAUCGGGAUCUGUACGUGUGUACAAGGAUUAUGCAUAAUGAUUUGAAAAUUAACUUCUAAACAUAGAUGCUUAGUGAUGAUAAGUGGUUGCUAUAUAUAGGGAUAAUCACAACAUUUGACUGUAAUUGCAACAAAUAAUAUUAUUUUUUAUCUUUUAAAUUUCGCAACCAUGGGUAGUUUUUCAGUUUAUAACUAAUGCUAGUGUGUUAGAAUAUUUUUUUUUUUGUUAGUAAAGAUUCACUUCUCCUGUAUAAAUAGAGAGGAAAACUAAAUCAUUUAGUGUGCACCUUACAAAAUAUAGUCUUCUAGUUAGUGAAGUGAAUGAGAUCUCUCCCAUGAAGAGUUCUUAUAUUUUCAUAUAUGUAACCCCUCUUUCUAUGAAAUUGUUGGAUUGCUAUUUAGUAAAGUGUAUUUUUUUUUUCUUAUUCCGCAACAAUAGAAUCCUCUAAAUAUGAUCCUACAACUCUCUUAGCUAGACAUGGUGGUGUAGAAUUUCCAAGGGUAUUCUUUCCGAACCCCAUGGGGAGAAAUAUUUAGAGCUAACACGUUGGAGCAAAUAAAUUAAAUCCAACAACAUGGAGAAGGAUUCACUUAGAAUGUGGGAUAAUUUCCUUAUCUUGAUGUCCCCAUAGUUAGUGUUCAUAUCCUCGAGCUUUGCGGCUCCUUGACUCUUACUCAACGACUUAUACCACAAAAUGUAGUUCAGUAGUUGUGAAUUGUGUUAAUGCGGGUCUGAUGCAAUGUUGACGUCGCCAUGUUCUAUCUCUCGUGGAUGAACAAAAUUUAGAGUAGGAUAACUUUGAUCUUGAUCUCGAGCCAAUUAUGGGCUAAAUUUCACCACCAAAAUUUUAAGUAGCCUCAUUUUUUUGCAGCAUAAUUUUGACCAGGAUCCAAUGAAGCCUGACUUUUAGAAACCUCCACAAUGUAGUCUUCAUCCAUAGUUUUACUCGUACACUCCCAUUAAUCAACAACAAUAUCAAGAAGUCUCUUAAGAUAUUGUUUCACUUUAAGACGAUAUGGAACAAUUUGAUAAUAAUUUCUAGGAUCUUUGUAAUGAUGUCGACACCCUCUAAUGACUUUGACGCUAUAACUCAUUUUGUUAUUGAUAUUUAUGCCAACUCUUGACCCGAUCCUUUGCAGCCACCGCCCCUGCCAUAUGUUCAACAUUACCUGAAUUUUCCACCACCCCUCCUCAUGAUUAGAAGGUCCGAUCCUCUCUAUGCAAUAGGAAAAUGCCACAACUUAAGCUUAGAGAGGGAAAUUCUCUAAAUUUUGUAAAAAAAAAUCAGUUUUUGCUUUGGUAGUUUUUUUUUUUUGCUUUUUUAUUUGUAAAAGAACAUUUUUUUCAUUUUAAUUUCUGUUUUUAAGAAAAAUUCAGAAAAAAUUAAAAAGAUAAAUUUCUUUUAUAAACUAGAUCAUUAUAAAAAAAAAGUUUUAUGAGAUGCUGAAACUAGUUACUUCAUAAUAUGUUAUGUAAAUGUGGAAAUGUUAGUGACCAAAAUUGAUAGUCUCAAUACACAUAGGUGUAGUAAUAGUUCUUCAUAAGUAGGGAUUUGUUAAACAUCGUGAAUUGGUAAACCAAUCAUAAAAAAGUAAAAGAAACCUUUAAAACAAUUAUAACUAUGGAGUUGUUAAACACUGUGACCAUUAAACCAACUUGGAAGUAAUUUCUUGAAACUUUUAUAAAAGAACCCAGGUGAUAAUUCUUGACUAUAUAUAACUUGGGUGUUACCUUUCAGGGUGAACCGCAAGUCUAACAACAUAUUCAUUCAACCAAAUACAAAGAUCGAAGAAAUAAGCAAAUUGUUAAAUCCCAGAUCAUAGUGGGUACCAACUGUCAAAAUCGAUAGCCAAAUGAACUUUCAAGCACCUAAAUGAAGAACUACCCAAUAAAUAUUCAAAGAAAUAAAAUUUAAGAAACUAAAGCCAAAGGCAAAAGUCACAUUUACGUUUCAAUGAAUUUGUGUGCAACCACAAAGUCAAAUAUCGUUCACAUGAAGAACCUGUGGACUAUGAUAUUGGAUACUUUCAAAAUAGUGAAAAGAUAGGUGUCGGCCCCUUCAUGUGAGCUAGUUAUUUCAUAUAAAGUUGAUAUGCCUUGUCGGAGUCUUUGAGGAUCAGUCAAGUUAGGUAACUCUAAUGAAUUUGGGUUGAAAUAAUAUUAAUUAUAAACAUGAUGUUUUUUGUAAAUAAAGUUUAUUAAUGUAUUAAUUUUAUUUAGUUUUACGAUUGGUUUAUCAUUUUGCACCAUCAAAAAAUCCUUCUAACUUUAGAUUUUGGGAUAAUACUAGAGGUGUCGAGAAUAAUGGUUAAGUUCGUGAUCCCACUAGAGUUUCUUUGGCGUGAAGUCUUAUCAUAUAAUAAAAAAUAUUGGAAGUCAUUUUUUUUUUUGUGAUGUCUUUGAUUUUUAGUUUUUUUUUUACUAUUUUACUUUAUUUUAUAAUAUUCAUUUGUAUGAUCAUAGAAUAGUUAACUUCUCUCUGCAUGAUCGUCUAUUUAGGUUCUUCGUAGCCAUCUACAAUUUACUUACCUAACUUUUAUUUUCCUCUCUCGAGUAUAAGUAAGGUUUAAGAUUGGGAGAUUUGUUAGAUUUAUUUGUAUGCUUCUUUUCUACUAGUUUUACUACCUAAUUUGUAUUCGAUUUUCUACAUUUUUGCUUGUGUAAGUGUUAAUAAAUUGGACAGUUGUUUUCUUCAGAACAUGUGUGCUGCAUAUGUUUUGAUAUCUAAUUUCAGGUAUUCAAAGCAGAGUGGGAAUUCGAAGAUAUAUUGAUGCAACAUGGAGGAAACCUAGAGCAAUUUUUGGAGCAUAACAGUAGCUUAUAGUACAUACGGAAGUUAGAGAAUGGAAGGAAGCAAUAUGUUCUGAACACCAUAAUGCAAAAAUAACCUAACACGGGAUGUGUUCACUCUGAUACAGGUUGUGUACCUUCAUUUAAAUAAUCUGAGAUGUUUUGUUUUUUUCAAAAAAAAUGAAAACCUUGAAGCAGGUAGUUUUUGUGCUGUUAAGGGUCAUGUCCCAUCCCUGGGGAUUGUGUUUCUGAUUUUGAAGAUUUAUCAGUACUAUCUCCAAACAAGGGCCGUGUUCCAAGAAAAUUUCUCAAAGUAGCAUUGUACUUCAUUUAAAGUGAUAUGGGGUUUGUUUUCCUCCGAACACGGGCUGUGUUUCUUUAAAAUUGGUUGUGUCCCAAGAGGUGUUAUCUAGCAACAUACCAAUUUUCCAAGUGCUCCAAAGCCAUAAUUGGUUAUAAGGUGUUGUAUCAGUUAUUCAUUAGUCACAAACAUCAUGUUCGACAUCAGACAUGGAUCACAAUUAAUCUCAUCUUGACUACAUAUGUCUUUCAUAUAGUUCAUCGUAUACCUAACGAUGACCCUUAUAACUGCCUUUUUACAGAACAAUGUUAAAGCAUGUCAAAGUACAACAAUUCUGAUACUUAAGUCCUACAAAUAUAUCUCAGGUUGAAGAAUACAAAUAUACUACCUUUAUCAAACACCACUCAUGAUUAUGCUCCAUAAAGUGACUUUGAUGCAGUCAUAUCUAAUAAUUAUUCUCCUAAGCAAGUACCUAUGUAUUUGGUUGCAUCCCUUUGCAUUUUUGUCUCCUUGAAUAUCUACCAAUCCAUUAAUAUUAGUAUUACCUCAUAGAUGGUCCCAAAACUAUGAACGACUAUGGACAUUUAGAAUAACCAAGGUUAUUCAAGGAUUAAACAUGCUAAUAUACAACACAACAAUUAUUUAAUAAAUAUACUAUAUGCAAUAUAUCAAGUCAUUACAGUAUAUGUUGCUUGUAUUGUUCAAAUAUCAAUACUAAAUUUCAUUCAAAUUAAAUCACUUUGAACGAAGGAGCUUUAUUAUGUAUAUUUUUCUAAUUUGAUUUUUAUAAACUUUGCAAAUACAAAUAUUUAUUGAUUAAUUUAUAUGUCCCGUAUAUAAAGAGAAACUCUUGGGAAUGUUUUAUAUGCUUAAAUAUGGCUUAGAUAGCAAUACUCACGUAAUAAGAAUACUCAUAGUAAUAAAUUAACUAAUCAUUUAAGUAUCUAAGUAGGUCCCUCAAUAACAAUGUAUUUUGACUCUUUAGUGUAACUACAAUUUAAAUCUUCAUAGAACUCUUGUCCAUGUAACUUUAUCUUCGUUCAUAAUGAGGACAUACAUGAUUAUGAUCGAGGAUUAUCUCAAUUUAUUUAGAGUUUACAUUUGUGUAACCGACUUGACUUAGCUUUCUUUCACAUACUCAGCAAAUCACGAAUAUUUAUCUAGUUCUUCAUAAUCACUUAAGAAUGUUCCUAUUAAUCAUACCAUGACUUAUUCUCGAAUUAUACUCGGAUUAUACUUGUAUUUAUUCAUCAUGCUCCAAGCAUACGUCUUAUCUGGCCUUUAUGCAUAAUUUGACAUAUAUGAUAAAUCCAAUUGCAACAACAUAUGGAAUAUAACGGUACCAUCUAGCUCAACCAUUAUACUACAGUUCUGAGGCAUGCUCAAAAUCAUGUCAUGUGGCAUUGACAUGAUAAACUCUCUUUGAGUCCUAUAUUUGAACUCUUCAAGAUCUUGACAACUAAUGUUGUUCUACUUAAUCUUUUAAGUUCCCAUGAUCUAUGUUAAUAGAUCUUUACUCCAAGAAUUAGAAUGUUAGAUACAUACAAUACUAUGAAUGUUAUUGCAUUCCGACUAACUUUAUAAAAAACACAACAAUCAUCUUUAUUUAUUCAGAAAUCACACUAUGUAAUUUUCUUAUAAGAAAUAAGAUUCUUAUGAGAUUUUGCCUUUAAUCUGAAAACAUUUUCAUCCAUGUAUAUUUUUCUCCUUUGAAAAAUCAAUCUAUAUCGAGGAAGAUUAAUCGCAUCCAUACUUGGUUCUCAUACAUGAAUUCAUCUCUAUGUGUGUUUAUUAGUUUCUGGUCACCUAUUUGAACAGGUUCAACAAUUCUUGAAAAAAUUGCUAGUUCCAAACCGUGAUCCAUUUAAUUUAUGGUUCUUUAGCCUUUAAAGUUCGAUACUACUCCUACUUAGAAAAAUAACUUUCUAACUAUAUGACUUUAGAAUGACAAUCAGAGGGAUUGUAUAAACUUUAUCCUAAACAAUCGUUUAUGAUAUUUUUACAUAAAUGCAAUUUGUCGAUGUCAGGGGAGUUAAGCUUCUUGUCUAACAUAAACUACAUAACCCUAUACCUUACAGAUGAGGAUAAGAACAUUUCAUCUUUAGUCUAAUGAAAAUAUUUAAUCUGCUUGUUUGGUUGGAAAUAUAUAUUCAGUAUAUAUUUGUUGCAGUGAGCAUAACUAAAAAUAUAUAAAGGUAAUAGUUGUUUAUAAACUUCAUAUAGCAAACUAUAAGGUUUGAUUUAUCCUCUUCAAAAACUUGUAGUAUCGACAAUCAACUAUUGGCCAGGUGACCCUAUCCCACUAGAGAGUGCAAAAGCUACCUUGAAUAUCAUAAGACAAAGACUAAGAGACCAUGUGAUCCUUAUCAUAAAGAAGGGUACAAAUGACAAGUGAAUGUUCAUUGACAGAAUAAGUAAUGAAACAAUUACACAACUCCUAAGAUGUUCCAAGACGACUUGCUUUAAAAAAACUAAUUUCUUUAUCAUAACGAAAUGGGUUUAUGAUCAAUUCGUUGAGUUGUAUUUCAAUCUUUAUUAUGAAACAACUUGAGCAAUUUAAAAGUUUCAGUAGUAACUUUAUAAAAGUCAUUAGUAAAAUUAAUUAAGUAUUUAUUACCAAAUCUAUUUAUGGAUUGAAAAGAUGAAUGUAUAAUUGUUUGCCAAGAUUUUUUUUUCCUUCAUUACUAAUAGAGAAAAAAAAACUUGUGAAUCAUCUUCGCAUAUAAAAAUGAUUCACAUAUAUCAGAUGAAUCAAGCUCAUUUGUGUUUAUUUCAUCUUUUGAAGUUAGUAUGUGAGUUUCUUUAUUAUAUAGUCACGAUGAUAAUGACAUAGAUAAGAUUGAAUAAAAUAUCAUUUUAUUAUAUAGGUGUUAUCUUUAUAACUAUUAAUUUUACAAAAAAAACUUAUAAAUUAUUUCAUAAAGAAGGUUAUGAGAAAAUAUUCUUAACAUAUAAUACAUCAUUUCAGAACAUGAAUGUAUACAUCCAUUAAAGGAUAUAUUUAAAAUUUGUAACUUUUAUAUGUUCCAAAAAUAAUAAGUCAAAAACAUCUAUUUUUUAAAUACAGACAAUUUGGUAAUCGAAAGAUCCAACAAUAACAACUCUUGUCAUGUCUACAACAUGGAAUACCACUUAUCCGCAAUCGGUUUCUUAUUUCUUCCAAUCAUCUACACAUAAUACCAAGUAGUAUUGUCAGAUACAGUAUUAAAUACUCAAGUGAAUGAUGAAAAAACAAUAGUUUUGUCAUAUAUAUACUUGAAGUGUUGGUCAUGCUAGACUUCCUCAUCUUGGUGAGAUAAGAUGAGCAGUUCCUCUUUUUUUUUCGCAAUCAGUUUCCUCUUUCAGUAUGUACUUUCUCCAUAAUAGAAACAACAUUAAUCAUUUUUUCGCUAUCUUUAUUUCUUGGGUUUAUGUUGUAUUUCCCCUAACUGAACUAUAGGUUUAUUAGAGUACAAAAACUCUUUUACAUUUCUUCUAUCCAAUGAUUGGACAAUUUUGAAAAAAGUUCUACUUCUCUGAAUAAAUAUUUGCUUUACUUGAUAAAACAUCUAAUAUUGUUCAUAAUUCACCAAGACCUUCUACAGUUCAACGGUCAUUGUUGUAGUAUGAUGUAAGAUAUAUCAAUAACAUCACAAAUUUUUUUUCCAUAAACCACCAUGAUCAAUUUGAUUGGUUGCCAAAGGUUGUUUAGGAAUGAGAUCUUUCAAUAUAUAUAAUUUUUGAUUAUCCUUGAGGAAAAAUAUCAAGGAUGCAUACCAGUUAUAGAAACUAUAAACAUCAAAUGUUAGUAUCUCUUAGAACUCAACAAGAGAGCGGGUGUAUAGGGGUGUAUGAGUAAUAGCAGUCAUUUACAGAAUUUAAUGAAAUUUCUUUAGUAUUUUUAAUAUUAAGCCUGUAAAAAUUAACACAUUUUUAUUGUUUCUAAAAUAUUAAUUUAUUAAAUUCUAGGACCCAAGUUACGAAACAAGUAAUGGUUACAUGACCUUUAUUCCAUCGAUUUCAACCAACUCGGUAAAUAACAAUUACCAAUUUCAUCAAAAUGUAAUUCAUAGAUAAUGAGAUCCUAAACAACUAUUGCUUAACUUGGCAUGCUUGAUCCCAUCUAUGCCUCGAGCUUCUCCUGCUUAGGUGAUAUUUAUCAUAAAAAUUCCCGAUCAAGUCUUCUUACUUGAAAAUUUUGUAGCACUGUAACUAACUAGUGAUUAGGUGACCCAUCAGUAAUAGAAAAGUACAAACCACCUCCAACAUCAUACAAGUUACUAGGUAAUCUUGUGCCACCAAGACCAUACAAAUGACGCGUUAGUAUUCUUCAACAAAGACAACAAUCACUUGCAUUUUUAAGAAAAUCUUUUAUGUAUGUUUUACAAAUAUAGUAUCAAAAUCAUGGUCUGGUGAAUAUUGCAUGCAUCCAUUAAUUCAUGUGCCUUUUGUAAAAAUCAUAUCUCUUACAUAAAAUUUUUAGGUUCUAAAUAAAAUUUCAUUUUAUUAACCAUUAGCCACGAUAAAUUAUAAACAAAUAUCUUAUAUUUAAGGUUUAGUCAUAUAGAACGCUUUAAGAAAUAAUUAUAGUCUUUUAAUAAAAAUUCGUUUUAUAGUUAAGAAUUGAAGUUUUGGAUGAGUUUCAAAAUCAAAAUUUUAAAUAUCCUUUUAAUAAUCACAAUCUUAUGACCUUAUGAAUUUGUAGAAUAAAUUUCAUUUUGUUUAUAAACUCAUUUUAUACAUCGUAUCAUAAAAAUCAUAUUUUGAUAUACCAAAAUGUUAUAUAAAUAUAACGUCAACAGGAUGCAUUAUAUUUUAAAAACUAAUAUCUUAAAUCUAGUUUUGACGUAAAAAAUAGUACAUAGUAUUAUAAUUUGAUGUUAUGAUGCUAUAAACCAAAUUUUAGUCUUUUUAAUAAAAAUUUUGUUUAUUAUAAAAGAGUUGGAGUUUAGAUUUAGUUUAAACAUAUUUUAAACCAUUUUAAAUAUUUUCAAGUUGGCUAUUAAAAUUUAACAAUAAAAAAUAUUUUUAAUAACAACUCAAUUUUAAACAUUUUAAAACUCUUUUAUAAAACACUAAUUUAUAAACAUCUUAUAUUAUCUUUUAAAUAUUUAUAUCUCAAUAUCCAAUUGAUGUUAACUUGUGAUUAAAUGUUAUUUAACAUGCAAAAAUCAUUUCCAUACCUAAAACAUAACAUACAAAAACAUAAAAUUAAACAUCAAAAACAUGCAUCAAAAGUGUAUAAACCAAGCCAUUUUCUAGUAAUAAUUUUUGUGAGCAACCACAAGAAUUAUUAAGUCAUUCCUAAAGGACUUAAUGGACACUUCAAAAAAGGUCUUUAAUCUCUCUUUUGCCUAGAAAACUCUUGCUUGUAAAAAGAACUUCAAGGCACAAUCUGAUGUAGAGUUUAUGACACUUAAACCAUUAAGACUACAAUUAAGCCCAAAACCAAGAAUAAAAGUUCAACGUUGGGAUUAUAUGUUGGGUGUUUUAUUAAAAAAUUGUUUCAUAAUAACAAAUUAGCAACGUAACACUUUAAUUUUGAAAAAAAAAACUAGUUUUAUUCCCACCUAAAAAGAUCAUUUUGCAAGACUUAGAAAUAUUAAAACAACCAUAAAAAGGAAAGCAAAACAAUCUUUGAUGACUUCAGAUUCUUUUGGCAAUUAGGAAAUUGAUGAAGAUGACAUUAAGCUCCAAGGAAGAAGCUCUCUAGAAGUGACCAACAAGCAAGAUCAAACAACCAUUAGAUGUUAGUCAUUCACUUCUAAAAUGUUUUUCUUUAGCUUUAAGACAUAUUCCAAAAUAUGCUUAAAGAGAACCACCAUUUUAAGACCAAGAAUGAACUCCAAAAUUCAAGAGUUGGGGAGAGGAUGAAGGCCUCUCCAAAAAAAUAGUUCUUUAAUGUCUCUAAGUCNNNNNNNNNNNNNNNNNNNNNNNNNNNNNNNNNNNNNNNNNNNNNNNNNNNNNNNNNNNNNNNNNNNNNNNNNNNNNNNNNNNNNNNNNNNNNNNNNNNNNNNNNNNNNNNNNNNNNNNNNNNNNNNNNNNNNNNNNNNNNNNNNNNNNNNNNNNNNNNNNNNNNNNNNUAUAUACUUUUGCUCUAUUUAUUAUUAUUUCCUAGAAAUAAUAAUUCCUAAUAUGUUGGUAAAAUAUUACUUCCAAAAAUUAAUAUUUUUUUCCAAUAAAUACAAUUGUUGAUGUAUUCAUUAAUAGUCAAAUUAUACAAAUAAAUAAUCAAUUGAUGGUAACUUGAUAUAUGGUGUGACCCUAUAUGAUCAUAUAUAUCUUUAUAAAUAUCUUUUUAUAAAUACUAUUUGGCAUACAAAAUCUUUCAAUUUCCCACUUGCACAAGUCUCGUCAUAGAUUGUUAUAGACAGUUGUUAACACCUAGCAAUAUUUCACUGCCCUUAAUAACACAUGACGAAGAAACCAUUCAAAGCUUCAAAUGAUGUAUAAGGUAUGUUUAUUAGUUAUCCCUUUGUUUCAGAGACCAUAUUGAAGAUGAGACUUGGAUCACAAUCAAUAUAAUUUGGUGUUCAACUUUGGUUAAUGCGUGUUAGAUGUCUUGCUCACAACACAUACGAGGAAAAAAUCUCACCUUGACUACAUAAGCCUCUUGCAUGGUUCACACCACACCUAAAAUGGCUUUUAUAAUUUCCCAUUUAAGGAUCAAUAUUUGACCAUAUCUAAGCACAACACUCUGUACAUUUAAGGAUCAAUAAGUAACUUUUAAUCAAGUAUCACUCAUAACUACGAUCUAUGAGUUGAUUAUGAUGUUGAUCCGUUCAAUACUAGUUCUCUGAGAAGUAUCUAUGAAACUUGGUUACAACCACUUGCCUAUUUUCACUCGGUGAGAGUCACUCAAUCCAAUUCAUAUUAGUCUUACUUCAUAAUUUCUGCCACAAUUAUAACCGACGAUGAACUUUUAGAAUAAUAAGAUUAUUCAUUGAUUAAAAAUCUUAAUAUAGAACACAACAAGCAUUGAUGUAAUCAUCAUAUCCCAAUAUAUUAAAAAAGUACAAUAGUCGUCUUAAUGGUCCAAUAUCCAAAUACAAAAUUCAAACAAAAGUCCCUUUUAUAGAAUAAUAAAGUCCUAUAGUUGAAGUGUUACCAUUCAUAAUUUGGUUAAAAGGAAAGGAGUUAUUAAGGGCCUGAUUAUAUUUAAUUUGUGUGAAUUAUGUGUAUACCAUCAUCCCCAUAUUUGACUUUACUCUUAGUAUAUAUCUUGGAGAACAUGAUUGGUGCAAGGCUUGUAUGUAGCUUUCAAUCUCAAAAACCUAGGUAUGAUUUCUUCCUCAUUGGUUGGAAAAGUCCUUUAGGACCUAGGGCUGAUUUGUGACAGACUUGGAAGGUCGUAAUUGAAUUCGAUACCUAAUGGGUUAAGUGGAUUGAACCAUAACCCUAGUUUUAUCUUUCUGAAAAAUCCAUUGUUCUGUACCAUUUUGUAAAGAUCAUAACUAAUUCUAGAGACAUCGUUUUUGGACGACACUAGUUCCCAAAGUUUCAUUUUGGUGUCUGAUAGAUUUCAUUCGUUUUGACUGAAAUCCAUAAAUAUCUGUAGCUAGGGUAAAAAUGACUAUUUACCUAGACUGGUCCGGAAUGAUCUGUUAUGCAAGAAAGUUUUGUAAAAUUUGUCAUAAAUCGUAGCAAAAUCAUAUGAAGGUGUGCAAGUACUACUUUUAAACAUAAGGAAAUGAUCUAUCUUCAUUUUAUACAGUUUUGACAAACACGUGGAUUAAGGUGGGCAAAAUAGGUCCCGAACAGACCCUAAUUUUUAUGUAGAAAUCUGGAAAAUUACCCAAUAAUUAUAUUUAUAAUUAAGGCAAUUUAAUAACUACACCACCUCAAUUUACUAUUAUUAGGAAGUGUGAGGGACAAGCAGGUGUGAGUGAGUUUCGGGUUGCUUUGUAGGUUGCUUUGUUUUUGGAGGUGUUGUGUUAUAUUCUCUUUAUGUUAGCUUGUGUGUGCUAUGUGUUGCUUGUGCGGGUAAUGCUAGGCAGGGUAGAGUCUAGUGGUUUUUCUUCACGUAUUGAGGAUUAUGCAUGGUACGACUCAACGCAUCCGAGUGGCAAUCGGGUGUAGCCAAUGUGUCCCAAAGGCUCGACGAACUGAGCAAGGGGGAUCGGGCAAGACCAAUGUGUCCCAGUUGGUUCGGGUACGGGGGAUCGGGCUUAGCCAAUGUGUCCCAAGGGUUCAAUGUACUAAGCAAAGGGGGAUCAGGCAUAGCCAAUGUGUCCUAGUAGGAGUAUGUCUGUUACUGAUUCGUUUUUUGACAUGCAUGCGUGGUUAUGUGUUUGAUACUGUUUGCAUUCGUGUGUAGGGGUAAGGAUUAUAUGAUAUGAUACUGUGUAUGUAUGGAAUUAACUAAGCUUUAUGCUUACCGUUUUUCACUUAAAAAUACUAUUUCAGGUACACAUGAUGGUCGGGCAUGAUUAUACACACUGGCUUGAGGCGGGUUUUUGGAAUUAAUAUUGAAUUUGUUGUGUUUUCAUAAAAUUUAUAAUUAUAACUUAUAAUAUUUGGAAACAUAAUUGAUCUUGGGGUUUGGUAUUUCACUUGUUUUGAAUAAAAUAUAUCAAAUGGAUGAUUUAUGUAAAAAAAGUUCCAAUUUAUUGGAAAUUUUGGGAUGUUACAAAUUGGUAUCAGAGAACUGCUUGAGAGAAUUAGGCUCACUUUAGUAAGUUCUGAACUCAAGUUUGCGGCUCAAGAGUUAUUUUUCUAAAAUAAAAUUUUAUGGAAACUAAAUGAAGUAGUUCGGAAAAGGUGAACGCAAGCAUAGUGUGUACAGUCAGCCGAUACAAGAGGAAAAAAGGGAAAGUGUUCGAAUCUUAUUUAUUGUUCUCAUAGAUAAGAUUUUAUUAUGUAUGAUAGAUAACCUGAUUCUUCACAUGCUAUGUUGGAUGGUUGUUAUGUUUUAUUUGGAAUUUGUGCUAGUCCUGAUAGGUUGUUGAUUGAAUGUUUUAGGUUGUAUACAAGAGGAACUUGAUAGACUUAGAAUGACUGGUUUAGCCUGGUGCGCAACUCUUUUUUGAAUCCAACCGUUCUGGUGUGGGGUCUUUUAUUUGAAUGACUAUCUGGUUUUACAUUGUGUAUGAUUGUGCAUUCACGAGACAACAUGUUAGGACUGGUGAAUACUCCAUGAGAUGUAGAGUAGAAGGGUGAGAGUCAUUCCUAUGGGUCUAGGAAAAUUAUAGAAAAUGCUAGUAUUGAGUGAAUGUAAUAGAAUUGCAUGUUAGACUAACUGCUUAAUUUCCGACUGCUUUCUGCUUUUAGGAAUUCUUGUUAAUAUUAAUUAGCUAUCGGGCGAAUAUUUUAAGUUCCAUGCCCCUAGAAUUAAGUGGCCUUAGAUUGUCGGUUUAGCUCAAUUUCGCAACUGUUGUUUGAGUCAAACCAUUGUAGUGUUAGAUCUUCAAUCAAAAGGCUACUUAAUUCUAGUUGCAUGUAAUAGUAUUCGCAAGAUAGUUAAUUAACAUUAAUAGGAGUUUCUUUCCGGUAGAAUAGCAGGGUGGGGUGGGAGUCCUAGUAAGCUAGGAAGAGUGUUAGCAUGUGCUAGUGUAAACCACAUCGUUAGAAUUGUCGGUGAGAAGUGAGUUGGUUGCUUCAGGAUGGACCUUGGAGCAGGCAUGAAUCGGUGUGGACGAUAGUAGUAGGGCCCCUGCAAUCGGAAACACAAGAUUCUCGCCCGAGUCAAGAGAAAUCACGGGGGAAUAUAAGGACCUUGAGUGUAAUAAUGUUUACAUGUUUAUAUGUUUAUUAUUAAACUAUAUUAAUCUUAAGGUUUCCCUAGUUAACUACGAAAUGGUGUGUAUGGGAAAGGGUACUUCAGGAUUUUCUACUGGAUUAUAUGCUGAUGAGAUACUAAAGAAGAUUACGAUGGUGAUGGCGUAUGCUAUGGGGAAGAGUGAUCGGGGAUACUAAUGAACGAGUAGAUAGGGAAUAGUGUGAAAGUAACACUUGAAUAUGUGGUGAUGAAUCUUGUUUAUAUUAAACAGAAUGUCUAUUAUGCAACAUCUAGUAGAGAGCUCUGAGAUUGACUCGGACAACGCGGUCCUGCAUUAUUGGAUUGUUGUUGUGGUAUCGUAAGACCUAAUUGGAAGAGUUGUCUGGUAUCAUUAGACAAAUCACUGAUAGAUUGGNNNNNNNNNNNNNNNNNNNNNNNNNNNNNNNNNNNNNNNNNNNNNNNNNNNNNNNNNNNNNNNNNNNNNNNNNNNNNNNNNNNNNNNNNNNNNNNNNNNNGAAAAAGAGAAAAAUCAUGCAUACCAAGGUGAUCGGGAUAGUGAAAGUUCAAUUGAAAAAAAAACAGAAAGGUUCUUAAUGGGCUAGGAGAUGGAGAUGUGGGAGCAUCACUCAUAGUGGUUCAUUAAUAGGGACUUCGAGGACGAAGUCUAAUUGAAGCAGGGGAGAGUUGUAACUCCCCAUUUUUUGUUUUAUAUUUUAAAUCAUUAAUUAUCGGAGAAAUUGAUUUAUAAUGUUAAGAAUUAUGAUUUUCGGGUUGAAAGUAAUAAUAUGAUUUUAAGGAUUCAUAUUAGUUUGUACAAGGUAUAUACGAGGGGUUAGAAAGAGAUAACAUUAAUAAAAAUGUUAAGUUUGCUAAGGAUUUAAGAAGGAGGACCUAGGUGUAAUUGUUUUGAAGCAUGGGGAUCAAAGUAAGCCAAGGAGGAACAUAAACAUAUAUAAAACUUAAAACCCUUUCCACUCACUAAUUCUAUCAAGCAAAAGGAAAUGACUCCAAGUUGAAGAAUUUUCGGAAUUCCCGUUUUUGAAGACCUUGCAGCAGUGUUUGGACGAUCCCCGGAGAAUUAACCGUUGGAUCAUAGUCAAAUUUGGAGUGCCACUUUCCAAGACAUGUCGAAGUUUUGACCAUUGGGAUUUGGGUUUCAACGUAUGGAGCUCGAGUGACAGAUCGUCGAUCAUGGAAGACGUUUUAGAAAAGUCCUAGUAUGUAGCUUUGAAGGAAAGAUUGUCAAAAUCAUUUUCGGUGCAAGGCUUGUAUGUAGCUUUCAAUCUAAAAAACCUAGGUAUGAUUUUUUCCUCAUUGGUUGGAAAAGUCCUUUAGGACAUAGGGCUGAUUUGUUACAAACUUGGAAGGUCUUAAUUGAAUUUGGGACCUAAUGGGUUAAGUGGAUUGAACGAUAACCCUAGUUUUAUCUUUCUGAAAAAUCCAUUGUUUUGUACCAUUUUUGUAAAUAUCAUAACUAAUUCUAGAGAGAUCUAUUUUAGACAAAACCAGUGCCCAAAGUUUCAUUUUGGAGUCUACUAGAUUUCAUUAGUUUUGACCGAAAUCCAUAAAUAUAUGUAGCUAGGGUAAAAACGACUAUUUACCAAGACGGGUCCGAAACGAUCUGUUAUGCAAGGCAGUUUUGUAAAAUUUGUCAUAAAUCGUCGAAACAUCUUAUCAAGGUGUGCAGGUACUACUUUUAAAGAUAAGGACAUGAUCUAUCUUCAUAUGAUACAGUUUUGACAAACACGGAUAUUAAGGUGGGCAAAAUAGGUCCCGAACAACCCUAAUUUUUAUGUAGAAAUCUGGAAAAAUACCCAUUAGUUAUAUUCAUAAUUAAGGCAAUUUAAUAACUAAACCCAUCUCAAUUUAUUAUUAUUAGGAAGUGUGAAGGACAAGCAGGAGUGAGUGAGUUUCGGGUUGCUUUGGAGGUUGCUUUAUUUUUGGAGGUGAGUUCUUCACUACACCGUGUUGUAGUAUAUUUUCUUUACAUUAGCUUGUGUAUGUUAUGUGUUGCUUAUGCAGGUAGUACUAGGCGGGGUAGAGUCUAGUGGUUUUCCUUCACAUAUUGAGGAUUAUGCAUGGUAGGACUCGGCGUACUCGAGUGGGGGUCAGACGUAGCCAAUGUGUCCCAAAGGCUCGACGAACUGAGCAAGGGGGAUCGGGCAUGGCCAAUGUGUCGCAAUGGGUUCGGGUACGGGGGAUCGGGCUUAGCCAAUGUGUUCCAAGGGAUCAAUACACUGAGAAAAGGGGGAUCAUGCAUAGCCAAUGUGUCCCAUUAGGUGUCUGUUAUUGAUUCGUUCUUUGACACGCAUGCGUGGUUAUGUUUUUGAUACCGUUUGUAUUCGUGUAUAGGGGUAAUGAUUAUAUGAUAUGAUACUGUGUAUGUGUGGAAUUCACUAAUCUUCGUGCUUACCCCAUUUCCCUUAAAAAUACUAUUUCAAGUACACAGGAUGGUCGGGGAUGAUUAUACACACUAGCUUGAGGCGGGUUUUUGGAAUUAAUUUUGAAUUUGUUGUGUUUUCAUAAAAUUUAGAAUUCUAACUUAUAAUGUUUGGAAUCAGAAUUGAUCUUGGGGUUUGGUAUUUCACUAGUUACAAAUGGUAUUAUAGGUUGGCAAGUAGCAUCAUAUUUGUACUAAGUCUUGAUAGGUAUCGUCGGAUUUCCUAAAAAGUGGAAUUAGUGUUGGAGUAGGUGUCUAAGCCCAUAACUAUUAUUGGUAUGUACUCGACCCGAGAGUAGUAUGGUCCAUUUGGGUUGCAUAACACUAGGACAAUUUGUUAGGAUGAACUCUUAAGAGAAGGUUAUAUAUAUGAUUUGUUAAUAUAUUAUAUGUUAUAAUAUAUUAAUAUGAAAUCAUAUGUUUUAAUUAGUAUUGAUCAAAAAUUAAUUUGGAAUUAUUUUAGUGAUCAAAAGAGACUAAUUAAAUCUAUGGGGACUAACUAUUUUAAUUAGUUAUAUUUAUAUGUUUUGGGCUUAUGAUCCAUGUUGGAACAAGUUUAUCUAUGGAUACAUAAAGAGUUGGGCCACAUGAAUCAUGGAUCAUAAAACCAAUGGGUAUGGAUUUGGGUUAUAUCCAUGUCUCUUGAAAUCCCACAUAUAAAUAUGUAUUCCAUUUCCUAAACACGCACUAGACUUGUUCUUGGAGGGCAUGGAGGUGUUUUGGUGCAUGGGAUUCUCUCUCAAGAGUCACCUUUGUCCUAGGUGAGUUGUAAUUCCAUUUGAGGUGAAACACUUGGGGCACUAAGUUCUUGAAGGACAAAGUGUUUCAAGCAACACCAAAUACAUCAAGACUUCAAGCCACAUAAAGGGUAUGUUACUCUAACUAGCAUCUUGUAUUGUUUAUGUCAAUUGCAUGCUAGUUAUAAGUUUAAUACCUAUGAAACCAUUGGCAUGUAUAAUUUGUGAAAACAUAGAUCCAAGGUAUUUAGGGUUGUAUGUGAAACAUAGGAUGUUGUAGUAUACUAAAACCCACAAGUGGUAUCAGAGCCAAGGCUUGUUUUCAAUUAUACUUGAUGCAAAAGGCUUAACAACGAAGUUUUUGUGCUGUCUGGACAGGGGACUUGACGAGUCCAUUAAGGGACUCGAUGAUUCCAUGCACAAACUCAUCCAACUCGUCGAGUUUGUUCCUGCACUCAGCGAGUUGGACCCCCUAACAACAUAUUUUCAAGAUUUGUAUUAGUCUAUGUGUUCAUGCUAAUUUCUUGAAGAUUUAGGAUUUGAAUUAUCUUGGUCUUAUGAGUUAGUUUAGAUUGAUAGAAAAGCUAUGUGGUAAUGUGUUUUCGGUCCAAAUUAAUCUAACACUUGUUCAUAAAAGGUGUUUUUGUUAACUUGUCCUCAAGUUAUAUGAAAAGUUUCAUUUAUGAUUUUUANNNNNNNNNNNNNNNNNNNNNNNNNNNNNNNNNNNNNNNNNNNNNNNNNNNNNNNNNNNNNNNNNNNNNNNNNNNNNNNNNNNNNNNNNNNNNNNNNNNNUCUGGUUCAGAUAACUAUGAUCUACCCAAAUCUCUUGGAACAAGCAUUUAUAAUGAAGAUGAUGUCCCAUGGUUAGAUCAUGGAAAUCAUACUUCUCUUCCUACACCUCCUCCAAUUAAUUCUCCCUAACCCACAAGUUCAAGGUCACUCAAGACCUAUUGGCAAGUAAAGUCUAUGUAUGCUCACAUCUUGGAGAUGAUGUCAUAUAUAGAUAGGUCGGGAGAGUUGGGUGUCAAGGUCUUGAGGAAGGUGGAUGUUGACAAGGUUCUUCAAUCACUUCCUAAGUCACAUAGUGAGUUCCUUGUGGACUACUAUAUGACAGACAAUGACAUAACCCUUAAUGAUCUUACAUAUUUGCUUAAUGCUGCUGAAUCAGCGAUGAUUUGGACCAUCGGUAAAGCAAAUAUGAUUGGAAGGUCGACUUCCCAAACUUCCAUGGACAUUGACAGUGGUUACAUUGGAAAUCCAAGAAAACUUUCUCUUCCCAAUGGAAAAGGAUCGGCCAUAGUGAAAUUUGUUGACCAAAUGGUAAAGAGAAAGGAUAAGUUUGAGAUAGUCCCGUGUACCAUUCCAAAGAGUCCAUAUAUUUCUAUUGCCAAAGGAAGGGGAAUUGGUUGCAAAGCUGCCCUAUUUACCUAAAAGAUCAUAAGGAUGGUAAAAUCAGAGUGUUUGACUAUGCUGCGUGUAAAGUCCACUAUCUAACUCUAUUAAGUUUCUAUUUGGAGAACCUUAUUACAUGAUGUGACUAGGUCACAUUUUGAUGUUUUUGUAGAAUCAAUGAAAAGAGAGGAAGCUUAAAGGAAGAGUAAGUUGAUUCUGAUCGCGAAGAGAUGGAUUUCGAUCGCAUGGUUCGAUGAUCAUAAUUUUGACCUGUUGCUUAAAGAGUUGUGAUAGAUUGCUUAGGAAUUCAUAACAACAUGGUUUUUCAUAUGUAUUUGCAUUGUAAGGAUAAGUUUUUCCGCAAGUUUUAAAAUAAAACAAAAUUUUUGAUUUUAUUUAUUUUAAGUGUCCUUACAUUGGCAUUUGUGAAAAAUUGUUGUUUAUAUAUUUCCAUUAAUAGCGAUAUUGGAAAAUAGAUUUGAUUCUUUUGUUUGUGGUAGUCUCAUAAUUUAGCAAAUAAGGAAAGAUUCUCAUCACCCAAGUUUCAGUUGGAUAGAAAAUUGGAAUCAUGCAACAUGUAUUAUAUGAUGAAUUAUAAUUUUCAUCUUUGGGAAAUUAAGACUAACUCCUUGUGCACAUGUAUAUGUGAGUCAAGUGAAUGACUAGGAGAUCAGGUACACUUGGUUGUGCGCUGGUCAGCUCCACCAGAAAGAUCGAUAAGGCUAUUCGUCAUGAUUUACUAAACUUUAGUGAAUAUGGGUAUACUUACAAGUUUAAGUGUAAUUCUGGUACAUUGGAAAAGUUUCAAUGUAAGGCAGAAUGAAUAAGAAGAAUCAAAUUAGGCAGAAAGAUAAAAGUUUCUCCAAUCUGAAAAGAUGGGAGAGUACUUGAGUCUCUUGUUUGUUGAUUAUUUUAGUGAUUACAAAACCAUAUCACAAUUGAUCCUCUAAGGACACCUUAAUGCAUUUGUUUGACUAAGAGGAAUCGUGAAUUGUUGAAAUGGUUAAAAUCAAAAAGGAUGAAUGAUACUUCGUUCCAAAACAAGUCUUAGAGUCAUACUCCAAGAUUGUAACUUGAGUGACAUAAUCCUUAGAAGGUUUAUAACACUUGUCAAAUGUAGAGUAAAAUGUUUUCUUACCUUUGUACAUUUAAAAUUGUCAUGUUGUGAUGUCUUGGAUAAGACAAAGACCAACUGUGACCAAUUGUGUUAAGUGUUUGUCUUGAUAAUGAAUCCGCACUAACUCUUGAAUAUUUGUUUGUCGAGGAAUGUUUAUUGACAAGAGAGUCUUAUAUGUCAAGAGGACAGUGGGAGUCUUAAAGGUCUUGAAAGUCUCAAGAACUAAUCAAGGUUGAAACCUAUUGUUUAUCACUAGCAUACGACUUGAGGUUUGCAACCUAUCGUGUUGGCAUAUUCUUGUUUCUGUGCCUGUUCCAGUUAAAGUUGACUAUACACAUGAGUUCUAUGAGUUCUCAAUUGUUUGCAUAACAACCUGGAAGCAAUGGUAGGCCUUUAUGCAGCCAGGUGGCAAGAAGUUAAGAUAACACAAGUUCAGUCCAUAUGAUUUUGGAUUUGUCACUAACCUUGUCUUGUGAUUAUCGUUAUGACAAAUUUACAUGGAUAUGAACACAUACACCAUAAGUCUCAUAAGGUUUCUCUCGGAUUCAUGAAAAUGAUGGUGAGGAAACGCUUUCACUAAGUAGAUUUUAAGUAGAUAGCAAUUGUGAUAUUUGCUUUAUCAAAGUUGUUAGUUGAGCGUGUGUGGUUAACUGGCACAUUAACAUGGACUUGUGAGAGAUGGCAAAGGUCUAAACAAUUGAGACUAUGAUUACAACAUCCCUUUUCGUAGUUCUAAAAAUUGUUUAGACACACAUGUGAGUUAUCUAAGGAAAGGUGUAUGAUUUUGAUAAAGUUUUGUCAAAGCAUCUCGUAUCAGAAAUCUGAACCUUGGUAAGAAAGUCAGUAAACUAUUGAUUUCUAGAAGUCCAGCUGAUUUAUGGAUACAUGUCAGAGCUAGUGGGAGCAUAAGUGUUAUGCUAGUAAGAUAAUAAUUAUUAAGCUAGUGGGAGCAUAAUUAGUUAUGGUAAAUAUUGCAAGUGGGAAACGUUAAUUAUAGAAAACAAAAGUUUCAAUUCGUGAAGUUGCAGGGGUUGAAAAGCUUGUUUUGCUAUAAUUAAGGGAGAGGAAAUUAUACUUCAGUUUAAUUCUAAAAGCUUAGAUUGUGAGAUUUUGAACAAAUUUAGUCAUGAUUACAUUAUUUGCAUUCUAAAAUUCGAUUUUGAUUACGACAUCCCUUUUCAUAAUCUGAAUUAUGAGAACAUUGCAAAUAGAAAUAUAAAUAUUAUAGCAAAAGAAUGGUAUAGUAUCAUUUCUUAAUGUAAGACAUCAUGAAUCGUGUGUCAUAUGCUUCAGAUAUAGGAUUGAUUACAUGUGUUGUAAUAUUCAUAUGUUCUAAAUUUUUCCAAAUGUCAAGGGCAUUAAGAGGGAAAAAGUACAAGAACUGGAUAUGACUAAAAUGAUUAAGCAAUUGUCGAGGACAAUCUGAGGUUUACCAAAUAUUGGUUGCUCAUGGAUAAUUGGAAGUAUAGUGUCAAUUUUGGGAGGACCAUAUUGACAUAUUCUAAAAGGAGGCAACUCUUCUUUAGAAGUGAUAGUCAAAAUGGAAUGUGGAAAUGUUUCCAUAGGUGGAAGUUAUUCUUUAAAUCUAUGUAAGAUUAGAAAACUUAAUGCAAGAAGGAUGUUCAAAGGAAUGUACUUUGAAUUUGAGACUUCAUUUCCAUGGAGUUUCUCUCCAUUGGAAUGCUUUGUAAUGUCUGUUGGCAAUUCUUUGUGACUUUUAUGCAUAGUCAUUACAAGAGGAUCAUGGCAUAUAAGUUUAGAAUCUAACAGAUUACAGUAAAUGGCAAGAUUUUUGUAUUCUUACAUUUGUAGGAAGGAUUUGGGAUUGUGAAAUGAGCAUCAUUGAAAUUAUGUUCAAUUGGUCUAUUUCACAAAGUAAGGAUCAUAGACACACAUAGUGUGCAUACUUGGAGUAUGGCAUAAGUAUUGUUUGGACAAACAUAGUUUGCAUGCUUGGAGCAUGACAUGACUAUUGUUUUAAUGCAAGUAUUAGGUUGAUAAAUCGAAACAUUGUACAAUGGAUAAUGUUUAAUCAAUAUGGUGAUAAGUAAAAAGGUGUUUUAUUUAUAUCCAUAAGUUCUGAGACCAUAUUGGAUUCAAUUAUUCUUGUGUUUCACUUUGCAUGUUUUGACUUCCAGAAUAACUAGGUUAUUCUUCCUGAAUGACUAAGUUAUUCAAACCAUCAACAGUCGAUAAUACGUUGGAAGUAGAUUUUAAGGCAAGAAUGUCAUGAAUUGGGUUUGUAGAUGUCUAAAGUAUUUAGACAUAGCCAAAGUUGCCACAACAUUCAUGAGUGCUCCUGGAAUGAGAUUCAAGUAUUGGAUUAAACCCACACUUAUUUGACUCACUUCAUGGAUUUUAUCAUGAGUGAUCAUGAGCCGAUAAUAUCUUAUAUUCUUCAUACCAAGAGAUAUGAGUUACAGUCUACAAGUCGGCUACACAUUGAUUAUGUGAAUACGCACCAGUAACUUGGUGUUAUAAAACACAUUUUUGUGUGUGAUUUGGUGCGUAUAUAGAGCAAGUAUAUGAGUAAAAGUUUAUCCAUUCCUUUUACCCUUGGAGGGAUAAAAGCAAUUUUGUAGGACCCUCGAUGAUUUAUUGAUGAAAAACGUAACUGAUCGGUCGGGCCUGGACUGAUUUGAUUUGUUCAAUUAGUCGAUCGUCAUUAAUCGGGAAUUGGGAAACAACAAAUGGACAGAGAGAAUGAUUAUAAUUCAUGUCUUAGUCAAUAUGAUAUCUAGAAUGGAGGAAUAUAUGAUCCCUUAUCUAAUGGACAAGUCAUUGACUGGGUCAGAGUUCGACAGCGGCUUUUAAGAGCUAUGAUUGCUAGUCGGGAUCUUAGAGUCAUGCGCAAUAAUAGUUUUAGACUUAUCCAAGUGGGAGACUGUUGGAUUAGAUGUUUAAGUCCAUAACUAUUAGUGGCAUGUACUCGACCCGAGAGUAGCAUGGUCCAUUUAGGUUACAUAACACCAGGACAAUUCGUUAGGAUGGACUCUUGAGAAAAGGUUAUAUAUAUGUAUAUGUGUAUAUAUAUAUAUAUAUAUAUAUAUGAUUUGUUAAUAUAUUGUAAGUUAUAAUAUAUUAAUAUGAAAUCAUAUGUUUUAAUUAGUAUUGAUCAAGAAUUAAUUUAGUGAUCAAAAGAAACUAAUUUAACCUAUGGGGAGUAAUUAUGGUAAUUAUGUAUAUUUAUAUGUGUUGGGCUUAUGAUCCAUGUUGGACCAUGUUUAUAUAUGGAUACAUAAAGAGUUGGGUCACAUGAACAAUGGAUCAUAAAACCCAAGGGUAUGGAUUUGGGUUAUAUCCAUGACUAUUGAAAUCCUACAUAUAAAUAUGUAGUCUAUUGCCUAAAAACACACUAGACUUGUUCUCGGGGCACUAAGUUCUUAAAGGCCAAAGUGUUUCAAGCAACACAAAAUACAUCAAGACUUCAAGCCACAUAAAAGGUAUGUUACUCUAACUAGCAUCUUGUAUUGUUUAUGUCAAUUGCAUGCUAGUUAUAGGUUUAAUGCCUUGGAAACCAUUUGCAUGUAUAAUUAGUGAAAAAAUAGAUCCAAUGUAUUUAGGGUUGUAUGUUCACCAUAGGAUGUUGUAAUAUACUAAAACCCAUCAAUUAUUACUUCACAAGUGGCAUCAAAUAUGUUCUGAGUCUUGACAAGUAUCUUCUGAUUUCCUAACAAGUGGUAUUAGAGAUGUAGUUUGUGAUUCUAUGAUUGAAUACAUCUACUCAUAUGUUUGAUUUGGAGAAUUUCAAUGGUCCAAAUGCCUUCAGUUUGUGGAAGGUGAAGAUGAAGGCACUUCUAGUUCAAUAGGGAUGUGCAACGACACUUGAAGGAGAAGAAAAACUACAAAAGGAUAUGGAGGCUGAAAGGAAGGUGGAUAUUCUCGCAAAAGUUCAUAACGCUAUUCAGUUGUGUUUGACAGAAAGAGUAUUGAGAGAGGUCGUGGAUCAAACAAGUGCAUCUAGGAUUUGGGUGAAAAUUGUGUAACAAGUAUCAAAGCAAUUCUUUGACUAACAGGCUAUAACAGAAGCAUCGUUUGUAUACGCUUAGGUUUUUGGAAAGCACCCAAGUCAGCGACCAUCUGGACAACUUCAAUAGGAUCAUAUUAGACUUACAAGGUGUGAAGGUAAAUAAUAACGAAGAAGAUUAAGUAGUUAUAUUGUAUGUUUACUGUCGAAUUCUUAUGAGAAUUUUUUUGAUAUCAUGUUAUAUGGUAGGACAACGGUCAUUGAUUAUCUUCUAUAGGUUAUCGGUUUUGUUAUCAGCUGCAUUUUCUUCAGAAUGGAUGGCAUUUUCUGGUUCAUCAAAAAGCAACAUGUACUCUUCAAACAUGUUGUAUGUCGGUGCAAUGACUUUACCAGUAACAGGAAAGAUUUCCUCUAUGGAACCUUCUCUUGAUUGGAAUUUCUUCAUGUAAUUGUCAUCAAAUCUGACAUAAUAGGUUUCUUCUAACUUCUUUGAUAUUUCGUUGAGAACCCUAUAUGCCUUGGAGGUUAGAGAGUACCCGAAGAAAAUCCCUUCAUCAACUUUCACAUCAAAUUUGUUUCGGCUCUCUUUGGAGUUGAAGAUGAAACAUUUGGAACUGAAGACAUGAAAAAACCUUACAUUAGGUUUGAGAUUUUAAAGGAUUUCAUAAGGAGUGACAUAAAAUCGCUUAUUGAGAAAGGAUCGGUUUUGGGUAUAGCAAGCAACAACGAUAGCAUCGGCCCAGAAAUACAGAGGAAGAGAAGCGGAGCUGAGCAUGGUUCGUGCUACUUCACACAAAGAUCGGGUGCGUCUUUCAACCACUCCAUUCUGAAAUGGAGUGUAAGGAGUAGAGAAAUUGUGUGUGACUCCCCUUUCGGCUAGAAAUUCUUCAAAAUCUUUGUUCUUGAAUUCCAAUCCGUUGUCGCUUCUGAUGUUACGAACUAGCUUUCGAAACUAAACUUCCACUUACUAUAUGAAGUUCUUCAGCUUUGGAGUAGCCUCUGAUUUAUGUUUAAGAAAAUAUACCCAAGUGAAAUGGGAAAAUUCAUCAAUGAUAGCAAGUAUAAACUUACUACCGCCAAUACUCUCAUUUGCAGAUGGUCGACAUAGAUCAAUAUGAAGAAGCUCAACAAGCUUGAUGAUCUUUGUACUUACAAGAGUUGGAUGACUCUUUCUGCUUUGCUUUCCCAUUUCGCUGCAGCACAUNCUCCUUAUCAUACUUCAAGAGGGGAAGACCUCUCACAUGAUCACCAAGAACAAUUUUGUUGAUAUCUUUAAUGUUUAGGUACGAGAGUCUUCGGUGCCAUAACCAACUUUCAUCAGAGUGAGCCUUUGUUAGUAGACAUACAACAGGCUUCCCUCAUAUCAGAUUUAGAUUAAGCAGAUACAUCUUGCCUUUUCUCUGCGACUUCAGUACAACUGUUUUCGUUUUCUUCUCUAUGAUAUCUGAUCCUUCAUCAUCAAACGAAACCAUCAGACCAGUUCUCACAACCAAUUGUGAAACACUGAUUAGGUUGUGUUGCAAUCCUUCCACACAGGCAACUUUACGGAUUGAUAAAUCUCCAUUUGUAAUCAUACCAUAGCCCUUUAUCAUGCCAUAAUAGUUGUUUCCGUACUUGACAUAUCCACCAUCUUUGAGAGCAUGAAACUCCCUCAGCUCUUCCUUCCUUCCUGUCAUGUGACGCGAGCAGCUACUAUCAAUAUACCAUUCCUUGUCGAACUGCUCGCCACGUAUAAUCUGCAUAAAUUAAGCAGAUUUGGGAACCCAAAGUUGUGUGGGUCCUUGUGAGCCUUUUACAGGACAAGGUAAAGCAAUAGAAAGAUCAACCAUAUGUAUUUGUUUUAUUAAAGUGGUUUCGUCUUUUCUUUUAAUGGUGAAAACUUUGAUUUUGUUAUUUGCUUUGUUUGAAUCAUUUUGUUUUUCUUUAUGUUGAUUCUUAACAACUCGUUACGUAUCCUUCCUAAGGUUAGAAGUCAUCUUCUUUAUUUGCUCUUCUGAAUCGGAUACGAGCUUUCCCUUUCCUUUAACAUCCUUAAGAGAAGUUUGAUUUGGUUGGGAGUGAGGAUGGUUGUUUUUGGCAGUGAAAUUUCUUGUUGAUAAUGACCUAUGAGCGAGAUGUCCAUUUUGUUUCUGUGAAGCACAAGAAUGACAGUGAGAACACUGCUUGGGUUUUUCCUGCGAAUUUGCUUUCGCUCUUUGAGAAGAAGACUUUUCUUUAUGCACAUAGUUAGAGUUCUGGGAUUGCCAAAACUGCUUCCUUUCCUUGAGAUUCUUUUGAUAUCUCCUGUUUCAUUGACGCUUUUUCUCUGCAAGUUGCUUGGAAGAUUUGUGAAUAUUCGCAUUCGAUUUCGGUUUCCUUGCAUGCGUUUAGCUCGUUACUGACUGAGAUUCGCUUGUCCUUUUGGUCUCGCUUUGAGCUUCUUUAGUACCACUUGUAGUUACUUUAGAGAAGUUAGAUGGCUUGUUGAUUGGUUCAGCCACAUAUUUGCCUUUCACCCUCCACGAGGUUCGUUCUGAUAAUCCUUUUGUUUCAUCUGCAUUAUCAAUCAGGGCAGACCAAAAUUACUCAUCACAGCCAUCAUCAUUAUCUUCAUCUACCAGGGAAGUUAACUCAACAGUUUGCUUCUUGGUAACUCUAGUGGUGGCGUACACUUAAUUCGGUACAGUUUGUACCUUUUGGUAUACCACUACCUUUUCUUUUAGGACUUUGUUCUGGUCUUUAGAUGAUCGAGCGAACUCAAGAUAGUUUUCAUAUAUAAAGACUUUUGCUAGUUCAGGUUCGGUUUUAACAAAUUCAGAACAUUCAACCACGUCCUCUGUAGAAAUUUCACUCAUAUCAUUGUCGUUGUCAAAUUCAGAAGUAUUGUCCGCAUCAAUCUUGUUUUCUGAACUUAACUUGGUACUCAAUGAAUCAAAAAUCUAUACGGUUUCGGUCUUAAUUUUAAACUUGUCAUUAUCGUCCAAUAAGUUUUUAAGCAUGUCCUUGUGGUCAUUUGACUUAAUAAAGGACUCAAUUUUGUCCAGACCAAUCCUAUAGGCAUCAGUGGUUUCUUCUGAUGAGACAAUUGACUCACAGUUAUAACAAUCAGUAUCCAUUUCGUCUUCCUUUAGUUCAAGAAAAGGCAAAAUCAUUUUGUGAAUCUUUUUGCCAAUAUCGUAGUGUAGAUGCAUCUGAGUAAUAUUUAUAUAAAGAAGUUUAGCAAUUAAACAAAAAAUAUUCCUUCGUUUCAAAAUUUUCAAAUUGUCUCGUUGCAAAUAUAUCAAUUCGUCUCUUGCCCUAACCAAGUCUAUCUCCUUCUGCUUUAUCCAUAUCCUUCGCUCCUCACUCUUAGAUGACACCCUACUAAGUUGAUCAGUUAGGUUAGCAUUUGUGAGGCGAGUUUGAUUUAGGCUACCACUUAGACUAGAAAAUUUAGAUUUUAAAUCAUUUAAUUUCUUUUUAUAGUUAGAAACGGGUAAUUUGAGUUUUUCAAGGAUCGAAUUUACCUUCUUGUUCAACUGAUCACAUUCGUUGAUCUGUUCUCCAACCGGUUUCGUUGUGAAGCAUUUAUCCUCCAUCUCUUUCACUUCAUCAUCCUCACCAUCUAUUGUGUAACCUCUCAUUUGUGACACUCCAUCCGUCACCAUCAUACACUUUCCUGGCAAACCAGAACCUUCUUCUUUCGCUACGAAUUCCCUGCCAUGAGUGGGCUUGUGUACUUCCUCAUCUUCCGAAUCAGUAGACCAGACCUCUACUCCACCGAACUCGUUUUAUUCAACAUUUUCACGCACAAGUAACACAUGCAAGGAUUUAUAUUUAGACUUCUUUUUCUUGGCUUAAUCAAGCUUACAAGUGUGGUAAGCUUCAUCGUCUUCACCCUCUUUCUUCUCAUUCAUUCUUCUUAACAUGCAUUCCUUUGCUAUAUGGUUUUUUCCAUGAAAUAAUUGCAGUCAUAGCCCGAGUCACCCACAAGUUUUCUCUCUUUCUUUUCCUCUUCUUUUUUAGGAGCACUUUUAAUCUCCUCUUUUGCCUUCUCCGAACUAUAGCUUCCCUUCCAGUUUCGGUUCUUGGCUGGGAACUUCUUUCUUACAAACCGCUUGGGAUUAGAUAACAUCAAUGCAUAUUCUUCAUCUGUCAGAUCACAUUCAGAAAGGUUAGACUCUAUUUCUUCUUCAAUCAAAUUCUUACCCUUUGAGAUAAGAUCCAAUGAUCCCAUUCCCUAAACUACUUUCAUUUCCUUCGUGACAACACUUUCAUGAGACUUGUGAAUUCCCACGAGCUUCGCCAACGAAUUGGAUUUAAACUGUUCAUGAGCUUAAAAACAGUUGAAACCACAACCAUCCAUUCUGGCCUUAGAACUUUCAUAAAGGUGACUUUCUGCUCGAUCACCUCUCUGCCAAUUCUAUUCUUGAUCAUCUUGCUGAGAAGAUGGUUCUAACGAUCGAAUGUUUGAAUGAGACUUUCAUCUUGCUUUUGCUUGAAGUCACCAAACUCUGAAAGUAGAAGAGUUUGAGUAGAAUGUUCGAGAUCCUCAUCGGUGGAAUACAACUCCUUAAGCUGGUCUCAAAUCUCUUUUGUAGUGGUACAUGCACUCACCAGAUGAAAGGUGUCAGAUUUUAAAGCGAAUCUGAUCAUCCUCAUUGCUUUUAUGUUGUUAAGCAGCUUGUCCUUCUCGUCUUGAGUAACAUCUUUCACAUCAAUGAUUAACUGAUUAUACUCUUUUUGAGUGUUGAUGGUUCUUUUGGUUCCAGUAUGAGAAAAGGACCCACAGUAAUUGCCUCCCAGAUUAGAUAUCCGUUGUCCUCUGAACCAAGAACAUAAUCUUCAAAGUGAAGAGCCCAAAAUUGAUACUCUUGAGUAUACAAGAUCGUAAUCCUUGUAGUCGAACCAAUGAUGUUGGAGAUGUUAAUGGGAUUGGUUUGAGAGUCGUCAUGAUACAUAAUGACUUGAUCUGUUUACCUAUCAAGAAUCAGACUUGUAAAGCAUUAUUAAGGUAAUAUUGAGAUCUGUCAAAAACGUCAAUGAAGAGAUGACGGCUCAAUAGAUUCAAUAAAAGCGGAAACCCUAAAAAUAUUCUUCAAACAGAAGAGAUGCGUAUGAUUUACACAGCCUCCUGCUCUGAUACCAAUUGAUGAGAUUAAAACGUUUAGAUCGAUAAGAUUCUUAAACAAAUAAAUCAAGAACACAAUGAAAAAAAGAACACCAGAUGAAUCAAUUCUUAUGUCGAAAUAUUAAUAAGUCAUGACCUUAGAAGAACUCUAUGAAGAAUUGCUACUAUAGAGGUGUGCUAGGGUUACAAUACGAUCAAAGAGAAUCAAUUAUCAAAAGCAUACAUACUAAGCUGCAUGUACGGACUAUAUAAUGUAAACCCUAAUAAAUGUAAUAUUGUUGGACAUGCUCAUAACUGAGAGCACAAUAGACCUAGACAAUAGACCCAAUGAUGCAACACUUCAUAACUCAACAAAUAUGAUAAUGGAAGAAAGUUGUGGCAUCAUAAGUUGGGACGUGUGAGCAAGGAUGGGUUUUUUGGUGUAGAUACAUCUGGAAAUACUAUACCCGAUGAAGCUUAUGUUUGAGAGAUGCAAAGUAAGGUGAAGCUUAGUUUGGUUCAACACUUAAGCAAGGAUAUUCUUGAGUUUGUUCACUCUAAUCUAUCGGUCCCUCUCAUGUGAAGUAUCAUGGUAUAUGUCAAUACUUCAUGACUUUUAUUGAUUAUUACUCAAGGAAGACCUUUGUACUUUCUAAAGACAACAUACCAAGAUGAAGUAUUUGGGCAGUUUAAGGAGUGGAAGACCAUGGUUGAGAAAUAGACCGAGAACCAUGUCAAGUCACUCAGAAUGGAAAAUAGGUUGGAGUUCUGCAAGGCUUCGUUUGACAACUUUUGCAAAACAGAAGGUAUACUUAGGCAUCACACUGUAUGGAUAACACCAUAGAAAGCCGAGUGACAUGACAAAUGAACCAAACACCGGUGAAGCAUGCUCAAUGUAUGCGAUUAUCUGCUGAUUUGUCAAAGCAAUUCUAGGCAGAAAUAAUAAACAUUAGUUGCUAUCUAGAGAAAAGAUCUCUAUCAACUACAAUUGUUUGUAAGACUCCUUAAGAGGUGUGUUCUGGGAAACCCUCUGAGAAUUCUCGUUUACGAAUGUUUGGAUGCCUUGCUUACACUCAUAUGACCGAUGGUAAACUGGUGUCGAGCGCAACGAAGUCCAUAUUUCUAGGAUUUGCGUCUGGAAGGAAAGGUCAUCGUUUGUAGUGUACAGAAGAAGGAAAUAGUCUACAAGUCAUUAUUAGCAGAGAUGUGACAUUUGAAUAUGCUAUGUGUAACCAGAGAGGAUAUGGUAGAAGUGUUGUGGGGAAUGAUCAGGGUGCUAGCCAUAUGGUAGAGUCCAAAGCAGAAACCCCAUACAGUUUUGUGAUAAAUAAGGAACAACAGGGUGGCAGGAACAACAUAGACGUGAAGAAUCCCUUGUUCAACUGAGGUAAGAAGUGUCUGGUGACGCUAAUAUCGGGAAAGACAACAUAAUGAAUCCUCUAGAGAAUGAGCUUGUGAUGAACAAUUUAGGAGAUGAAAAGAAGAUAACAAGAAUGGAGAUUCAGAGUGAUAGAAGAGCAGGAUGAUUAUACAUUUCUCAUUACAUUGUGAAACAUGUUGUUACUUUUUCGAGAGAUUCGAGGCAAUCAGGGGAAUACUCAUUGGGAAGUGGUCAAGUGGAUCUUGCAAAACUUGAAGCUUUUCUAGUUUAUGGUGCCAAUACACAACAUAUAGAUUUGGUUGGAUUGAUAGACUCAGACCAUGAAAGUGAUCUGGUGAUAAGUAUAACAUUGGUGGUUGGUUUCUUUUAGGGUGUUCUUUUGGAGGUUGGAAAAGCCAAUCAUACUCUAUGACAGCUUAUGCAUUCUAAACUUUGGUGCCAAGGAGAAUCUAGAGGACAUAGUGACAAGGUCGUUGCCCAGAGAGAUGUUCAAGCUUUGAUUGGAUUGUGUUAAUGUUCGUAGGAAGUAAGCCUUUUUGGGGCUUGAUGGCAGGAAGGGAGAGUAAGUUCUUGUUCAAGGUGGAGUUCAAAGGAUGCUCAAGUAAAGGUGUAUAUUGUUAAAUAUAACUCGAUUAUUUGGAGCAUUCUCACGGAGCAUUUGGAGCACAUAGAACUAAAUGGAGCACUUGCAGUUCAUGGAGCAUGUGAAAAAGAAUGGAUUAUCUAAGAUGGAUUUGGAUCAAUUACCAAAGGAACGGAUCAUCUAAAAGGUGGCUUAGACCAACUUGGAGUGGCUUGGAGCAACUUGCAGUGACUUGGAGCAACUUGGGGCAACUUCGAGCAACAUGGUCCAACAUGUUGCACCGUGAAGAUGUUGAGCCAUGAAGAUGAUUGAGCCAUGUGAAGAUGUUGAGCCAAAUGAAGAUGUUGUUCCAAGUGAGGAUGUUGAGCCAAGUGAAGAUGUUGAACUUACAUGGAGAAGUUAAUCCAUCAAGGAGAAGUUACGCCACCUUUGGGUGAUGUUGAGCAAAGCAUGAAGGAUGUUGCACAAUCCUUGCAGAAGAUUGGUGUCACACCGCUAGCCGGCGGCGAAAACACCAGGCGAUAUGACGACAUCAUGGAUCACAAUAAUAAGCAUACAUUGAACAUAUAAACAAUACAGUAGUAGAAUAAGUACUUUCAUUCAUUGAAAUAUGUAGAUUACAAUAUCCCUUAGUCUAGGGUUCAACAAAAGUACAAAACACGCAUUAAUAGAUAGGAAAGAAGGGAAAUAUGUAAAGAUAAAAGAUCACUACAAUCCCAUGAUCAUCCUUGUAGUACAUUUCGAGUUGGUAAGUACUUUUCGAUACUGAAAAGUCUUAUUUGGAUAUACAGAUAGUUCUUUAUCCAUAUACUUAAUGUGUCUUUAUUAUCCUGACUUCGAUAACUAAGUUCUUGAUAAAAAGAUAUUCCCUAUAGGCAUCUCCAGUUUCGUAUACUCCAUUAUAUUUUAUAGGUAUUUCAAGUUUCCUAUACAUAUUCCAUUCACUGUGAGUUCCAUAACCGAGUUAUUUCAUACUGAUAUGCCUCUAUUGGUGCUUCAUUAGGGCGUCAAUUAGUAGAAAAGACAAUUAUCACCCAGUCUGACUCGACCAUCAAGGUUGUAACUAGCAACUGUUGGUGGGGGUGUGAACCCGUAUAGAUCUAUUCGAAAUUCUCCCGUUCUUGCAUUUAUUGGUUAUAAGGAAGAGGUCUUUCUGAGUAUAGUGAUACUUAGGCUGAUGAAUAAAAGGCUCACAUGAAUUUAAAGAAUAUUCAUAACCCUAACUUUAAUAACAAGUUUUUGGUUAUUAUUUCCGUACCAAUACAUAAUACUAUAAUUAUUCCUUAAUUCAAGGUUCCACAAUAAGGUUGUUUCAUUGGGUAUUGAAAUAGAUUUAUUUACAAUACAAUCCUACUAUAUCAUUUAUUUAACAGAUUCUCGAUACAGAUUUAAUAACAUUUCUAUAAUCCUAAUACAAAUAAACAGUUAUUGCAUGUAUUUCUUCCAAAAAUGAUAGAAUAUUUUAAAUGGGCCAUGACACUCACUUAUAAGGUUAGUAGUCGAGAAACCGAAGAGAAAAAGAUUUUUUUGUAAUUUGCCAAUUUUGCACUAUGAUGAAUAUUAACUUUCACUGAUGAAUAGUAUUGUUGAUCGGCAUUAAUAGUAUCCAAUCGGAGCUUGAUCAGAAUACCACACAAAUCUAGCUGGACAAAUACAACUUGAUCAGAAUACCACACAAAUUUGGCUACAAAACUACUCAGUCGACUGCUAACGACGGCGACAAAUGCUGGCCAGCGGCCGCAAUCAGUGUUCUUGGCUUUGUCGGAGUUGCUGAUUGGAUGAUGAAAUCUGAACGAAGUGGUGUUGGUGAGUACUCGACGGAAUCAGCAGCGAGAACCAGUUAUUCGAGCCAUUCACGCAUAUUCACCGAGGCGGAGGUGGGUUGCCAAGGUGGCUCACGACAGCGACAGUAACCGAGAGAGAGAGAGAGAGAGAGAGAGAGAGAGAGACGUGAGAGGGGGAGAGAGAAGUGAAUUUAAGAGAAAAUGAGGGAUCCCCUCGCUCACAUUUAUAAUUUUUCCGAUUCUAAUCCAAGGCCAGAGAGAGAAAGCAAUUUGAUGAUCAGCAUCAAUCCUAGCUUUUUAAGCCUAUCCGACCUAGGUGACACGCUUUCGAAAAUUUUUAAGAGACGACUGGUAACGACCUAAAAACCCUUCCAUUAAUGAUGUUAGUUUUCCGUUACUCGAAAAUUAUUUUUGUAAAAUUAUUUCGAUUUAAAAGGUAUAGAAUAAAAUAAAUUCAAGUAAAAGGGAAUCAAUUAAUACCUAUAAUAAUUAAUGGAUAUAUUCAAAAAGUAUAUAAUUUAAUUAAUUUAUUUUUGUGGAAAAUAAGUUCAAAAUAGUUCAUUAAAGUGUCUAAAUGACAUAGAGGGGUUAGAAUGUCAUUAAGAGAAACUUGAUUUAUUAAGGAAAUUGAUAAAUUGUUAAAUGAAUUAAUUGGAAAUGAGUAGAUGGUUAAAAAGUCAAAAUAUGAAUAAAAACCCUUAUAUGUUACGUUUACUUUGUGAGCAAUAAGUAUGUACGAUUUUGUUGAAGCAUUCAAUUUGAUCGUUUUUUGGGCUAUUGUGCUUACAUUGAACAUUAGAGAGAAUUAGAUUAAGUGAUUGCAUUUGGAAGUCCAAUGAGGGAGGGAACGAUCAUCGAUUAGCAAAGGAGGGAAGAAAAAAACGAUCAACAAAGGAAGAAGGAAAAAACGACGACAUGAAGUUCAGAGGUGGAUCGACAGGUCUUGAUUCGAGGCUAUAAUUGACGCCUAAAUUAAUUUUCGUCAUGGGUAAGUUUCUUGAUUUUCUUCUUCCUCAAGUCUUCAUACUUCAAUUGGUUUGAAAUUGAUAGCAAUAUUGAAGCCAAAUUUCUUUCUUUUGGUGUUGGUGAUCAUGUUUUCUUUCACUUCAAUCUUAUGGCUUCUUAUAUAGUCAGAAUCCCAUCCAUGUUCUAGCCUAGUUUUUCUGUCAGAAGUCUCCCAUAAAUGCUCUCUUCUAUGUUGGUAUUAGUGUGUAAGUGUUCAUUGGAAUUGUGGAUCGAUUGCCUUCUAUUCGGUGUAAAAAAUUCAUCUUUCUUUUACUUUCAAUUCUAAUGAUUUCAUGUGAUUUCAUGAGUAUAAUUUUCUGCAUAAAAAUAAUAUGUUUAACCAUUCAUAAGUUACUUAAAACAUUUCUUAAAUGUCUUUAUAAGUAGUUUAAUGGUGGAGGAAACUCUUGCCCUUAAUGUUGUUUUCCCUUUUAGCAAGGUAGUUGGUUUUUCCCAUAAAAGCAAUGUUGUUUGAGUCAUGGUUUGAGGUUGAAAUUGUUAUUUUAACUUGUUGACAUGUUGUUACUGUUAAGAAUUUGAUUUCCAUCUUUAUUGUUGAUUUUGAUUAUGGCUUAACGGGUUAAGUUGUCAAUUAACCCUUAAAAUUUAAAGUUGGAAAAUUUCGGAAAAUUCUAAUUCUGUCCAUGUUUUCAAAGAAAUCUAGAAAAAUCAUCAAGAGUCGGAUUAGGGAUUAGUAAACUCUCAAAGUUUUAUUUUGAGUCUAGUUUGUAACUGUUUUUACCAAGGUCUGAUUUUGUUUCUAACCAAGGUGAAAAUCGUUAUUUUCACUGACUGGUCAGAAAUUAGCUGCACAUAUAUACAAUGUUGUAAAAUUCGUAUAUAAUUCUAGAAACAUCAUAUGGAAUUGUGCGAAAAGUUUAUGAAAAUCUAAAGUUCUUGUAUACUAGAAUAUGAAAAAAAUAUUGUAACUAAUAUACGCCUAAGUGGGGGCUAAAUUGGCCUUGAACAUGCAGUUGUUUCAUGUCCAAAUCUAAGAGUUUGAUCUAAUAAGUAAUUUGCAUGUUUGGGUAGUAAAUUGUGAGUCUAUGUUCAUGUAAGCUUCAAGUAUUCCAUUUAUUUGCGUUUUCAUAGGGUAAUGUUUGACACCUCAGUUCCUACAAGAUUUGAAGUGUAGAGGGGUCACAUUUUUUACAAAGGUGAGUCAUUUCUUGUGGUUAAUUAUCACUUGUUUAAGGGGUAGCAUGCUUGUACACUUCUUUGGUUGAUGUGAUGAAUGUUUGAUCUUAUGUUCUCCUUUGUAUGUGAUAUAUGCAAGUCUGAUCUUGUAAUGUAUGUGCGGUAAUAUUGAAUGUUGGACUCUUGGUAUGCUAGUAAUUCUUAUAUGAAUUAAAGGUAGCAAAUUUGUGAUGCUAGUCGUGAGUGUGCUCCUAUUGGUUUGAAAAUGAUAUUUGUAUGCUACUUGUUGUUUUGUCAAAUUUGAAUAAAACUAAGAAUUGCAGGCUAGAGAGUUGAUUUCUUAAAGGUGUAUGUCACACCCCCAAACCAGAAUGGCGGAAACAUUCGGGGGUGGAUGACUUCACGUAGUAUCACAACAAUUGAAUAUUGUAAAGAAAGUAACACAACCAUCAUAUAUAUAAUAAAAACGUAUAUUGUUGCGUUAUACAUAUUUGCAAAUGAAUAUUACAAUAUGAUGAUAUAAAUGUUUAAUAAUAAACGUCCUUGGUGUUUCUUCUUCAAAAGCUCGUGGUUACCUGUAAUUUCACUUUUUACGUUAAAUAAUAUUUUAACGGUGUGCCGUAAAUAUUCACGUGGUUAUAAUUUUUUCAAUAUAACUCGGUUUCAAAUGUUCUUUAUUUUGUUGGAAACCUUGGCACGAUAUCUAAUAUUUGAUGCAUCUUAAUUUAGAUAUUUGAACACUUUAUUUUUGAGGUUAAUUUCGUUGAUUCCAAAUAGUUUUCGUUGUAUUUGACUUUUGAGUGUUACAUCGCUUUUGGAAAAUAUGGGGUUGUCACAUCAUCCCCCCGUUAGCGGAAUUUCGUCCCGAAAUUUAAUCUAAGAUAGAGUUUACAGGUUAGGAAAAAGAUGCAGGUACUUUUGUUUCAUCUGAUCCUUACGUUCCCAGCUGUAUUCAGGUCCUCGUUUGGCGUUCCAGCGGACCUUUACAAUAGGUAUGCGGCUUUGUUUAGUCCUUUUUAUUUCCUGAUCCAUGAUCUCUACUGGUUCCUCUACAAAUUGGAGAUGCUCAUUUAUUCCAAUUUCGUCUAGAGGGAUGACAAGGGUCUCAUCGGACAAGCACUUCUUUAGGUUUGAUAGGUGGAAGGUAGGUUGUACGUUGUGGAGCUCCUGUGGUAAUCUAAGUUAGUAAGCCACUGGACCGAUCCUGGCAAGGAUCUCGAAUGGUCCGAUGUAUCUUGGGUUCAGUUUCUCACGCUUUCCGAAACGUAUCAACCCCUUCCAGGUCGAGACUUUUAGUAGGACUCGAUCUCCAACCUGGAAUUCCAAGGGUUUCCGUCUUUUAUCCGCGUAACUCUUUUGUCUGUCCCUUGAUGCUUUCAGACAUUCCCGGAUCCAGACAAUUUUCUCCGUAGUUUCCCUUAUGAUUUUUGGUCCAGUGAGUGUGUUGUCUGUUGCUUGUCCUUUUGCUAGUUGAGUGUCCCCUACUUCGGCCCAGCACAGAGGUGACCUGCAUUUUCGGCCGUAGAGGGCUUCGAACGGGGCAACCUUGAUAGUAGUGUGGUAGCUAUUGUUGUACGAGAACUCGACCAAGGGUAGAUGGGUAUCCCAUGCUUUGCCAAAAUCGAUUACGCAGGAUCUCAACAUAUCUUCUAGGGUUUGUAUGGUUCUCUCACUCUGACCAUCGGUUUGUGGCUGAUAAGUAGUACUCAUGCCCAGUCUUGUUCCUAGAUAUUUUUGUAGUGACUGCCAGAACCUUGAGGUGAAUCUACUAUCUCGGUCCGAGAUAAUGGAGAUGGGCACACCAUGUAGUCGUAUAAUUUCUCUAAGGUAUGUCCUAAUUAGCUUCUCCAAUUUAUCCAUCUCUUUGAUCGGUAGGAAGUGCGCUGAUUUAGUUAACCUGUCGACGAUCACCCAGAUAGUGUCGAGUCCGCUUGCCAUUCUGGGUAGUUUGGUUAUGAAAUCCAUGGUUAUACGUUCCCACUUCCAUUCGGGUAUUUCUGGUUGUUGCAACAAUCCUGAGGGCUUUUGGUAUUCUACCUUGACCUUGGCGCACGUCAGACAUUUACUCACGUAGGUAGCAAUUUCGGCUUUCAUGUUCGGCCACCAGUACAAUUUCUUGAGGUCGAGAUACAUCUUAUCAGAGCCGGGGUGUAUGGAGUAUCGUGUUUUAUGGGCUUCGUUCAUGACGACUUCUCUGAAUCCGCCAAACUUCGGCGUCCAGAUCCGAUCCAUGAAGUAAUGAACUCCAUCAUUCUUGACCUCAAACUUCUUAUCCAUUCCCCUUAAGGCUUCCCCUGCCACAUUUACCGAUGUUAAGGCUUCUAUCUGGGCUUCCUUGAUUUGUGUGGACAGGUGUGAAUGGAUUGUCAUGGUUAAAGACUUCACUCUGCGGCCCGAGUAUUCCUUCCGGCUGAGUGCAUCGGCCACCACGUUAGCCUUUCCGGGAUGAUAUCGAAUCUCGCAUUCAUAAUCAUUUAGUAGUUCUACCCACCGUCUUUGUCUCAUGUUGAGUUCUUUCUGGUUGAGGAUAUGUUGGAGGCUUUUAUGGUCGGUGAAGAUCGUACAUUUCGUGCCGUAGAGAUAGUGUCUCCAUAUCUUUAGAGCGAAGAUGACUGCUCCUAGCUCAAGAUCGUGCGUUGUGUAGUUCACUUCGUGCGUCUUUAGUUGCCUUGAGGCGUAGGCGAUGACCUUCCCUCGUUGCAUCAGGACACACCCAAGUCCUUGGUUUGAUGCAUCGCAAUAGACCACGAAGUCCUCCGUUCCUUCGGGCAAGGUUAGGAUGGGCGCACUACAUAAGGCUCGCUUUAGCGUUUGAAACGAGGCGUCUUGUUUUUCUCCCCAGUCGAAGGUCACACUCUUCUGAGUUAGGGUGGUAAGUGGUUUGGCAAUCUUCGAAAAGUUCUGUAUGAACCUUCGGUAAUACCCGGCGAGUCCCAAAAAUUGCCGGAUUUCUGUAGGGGUCCUUGGUGUCGUCCAACUUUCUAUUGCCUUGAUCUUAGAAGGAUCCACGUGUAUCCCCUCCUUGCUUACUACAUGUCCUAGGAAAUCCACUUUCCGAAUCCAAAAUUCGCACUUGGAAAAUUUUGCGUAAAGCUUCUCUGCCCUCAACGUUUCCAAAACUUGGCGGAGGUGUUGGCUGUGUUCUUCCUGGCUUCUAGAAUAGAUGAGUAUAUCAUCUAUGAACACGAUCACGAAUUUAUCCAGGAAGGGACGACAUACUCGGUUCAUCAAGUCCAUGAACACCGCUGGAGCAUUUGUCAAUCCGAAGGGCAUUACUACAAACUCGUAGUGACCAUAACGUGUUCGGAAAGCCGUUUUGGGGAUGUCUCCUUCCAGCACUCGCAGUUGGUGAUAACCAGAUCUUAGAUCGAUCUUUGAGAAGUAGCUUGCUCCCUGCAGUUGGUCGAACAGAUCGUCUAUGCGCGGUAGGGGAUAUCGGUUCUUGAUCGUGAGUUUGUUCAGCUCCCGAUAAUCGAUGCACAUGCGAAAGGAUCCGUCCUUCUUUUUCACGAAUAGGACUGGUGCUCCCCAUGGUGAGAAGCUCGGUCUGAUGAAUCCCUUGCUCAGCAGCUCGUUUAAUUGACUGGACAGUUCCUGCAUCUCGGCUGGGGCUAAACGGUAAGGCGACUUUGCUACAGGGGUAGCUCCGGGGAUUAAGUCGAUUCUGAACUCAACUUGGCGCUCUGGUGGAAUUCCUGGAAGAUCUUCUGGGAAAAUAUCUGGGAAGUUGCAGACUUCCGGAAUGUCUUUAAUGUUCUUUGGUUCUUGUUUCUGGUCUACUACGUGGGCUAGAAAGGCAUGGUAUUCCUUACGAAGAUAUUUUUGUGCUUUAACACAGGAGAUGAUUUGUAAAUUUGAACUAGGUUUGUCUCCCUAUAUGACAAGAGUUUCGCUGUUAGGCAGGUUGAGACGAACGGCCUUUUCGUGACAAAGAAUAUCGGCAUGGUGAAGACUUAGCCAGUCCAUACCAAUGAUUACAUCAAAACUUCUUAUCGAAAUGGGCAUAAGGUCGAUUUGAAAUAAGUGUUCAUUUAAAUUUAAUGUGCACCCUACGUACAUAUCGCUUGUGCUUUCCAUUUUACCGUUAGCCAUUUCUACAAUGAAUAUUUUAUUGAGUGGUUGGGGUCUUUGAUUAUGUAAGUGUUUGAAUUUAUGACUCACAAAACUCCUCUCCGCACCGCAGUCAAAGAGUAUGCAUGCAUAAAUGUGGUCGAGGAGAAACGUACCCGUAACCACUGUUGGGUCGGCUAUUGCUUCAUUUUGACCUAUUACCAGCACUCUCCCAACACCGCCAAUGUUCCUUGCCUUGGGGCAGUCCCUCUUGAAGUGCCCGGUUUCUCCACACCCAUAACAUGCCUGGCUUAUCCUAGUACCAGGAACUUGAGUGACUGGUCGCGUUGGUGCCUUACAGAAACAGGCUGUGUGCGCUUUCCAGUCGCAGUUCUUACAGUGCAUCUCGCGGCAAUUACCGUGGUGAUGGUAGUUGCAUUUGCUGCACUUUGGCAGGUUCCCCGCAUAUUGUUUUGUUGGCGCAGGGGUAGCAGGAGUUGUGGUGGGAGCAGAGCAGCAUGAACCGCAACCAUUUGUUUCUUUGAAGGUUCUUGCGAAGUUUUCCCCUUUCUCUAGUUCCAGAAUUUCUUCUUGCUGUUGUUGUUGGCAUUGAUAUCGUUGUUGUUGUUCCCUUUGGUUGGUUCAGCCAUGAUAGCCGUGACUCCAUGAUAGACACCAUGAUCAACGAGAGAUUGUGCCAGUUCCUUGGCGUUGUCGAAGGUUAUGGGUUUGGACGCUAACACACUUCCUCGAAGUUGGGGUGAUAGUCCCCAUAUGUACCUCUCGACCUUUUGGCUUUCCAGGAUCAACAUCCCUGGGCAAAGUGUUAUCAAAUCACCGAAUCUGUUGGUGUAGCCUACGAUGUCCGAGCCUACCAUCGAAAGGCCCCACAAUUCCUGUUCGAGCUUCUGAAUCUCGCCUCUUGGGCAGUACUCUCGAAGGAGCAUUCGCUUCAGGUUUUCCCAACCCAUGGAGUUUGCCACCACUAAGGUUAGUGUAUUGACGUGGCCGUUCAACCAUGUAAGGGCGCGUUUAGAGAAAGUAAAAGCAGCAUAUUUUACUUUGCUUUCUUCAGGGCAUGCGCAAAUUUCGAAUACAGCUUCCGUUUUCUCUAUCCAUUGGGAUAGAGCCAAUACUCCCCCAGUCCCACAAAAGGGAAUAUGUUUUCCGUUGGUGAAAUCUUUGUAAGUGAAUACCCCUGAACGGCCUUGACCUUGGCUAUUUGUAAAGCUGUUUGUUCCUCAACCUGACCCAUUAUUGCUCAUUUGAGCCAUCGCUGCGGUUACAGCGGUAGUUACAGCAGUUUGGAACAUGGCGGCAUCCAUAAUUGGAGGAGGUGGUGGAGGUGGUGUUGAAGUUGAGUUUCUGCGUGCUGAUCUACGAGGAGGCAUGUUCUGGUAGAGAAAAUAAGAAUGAAUACUAUAAGUUUCUAAUGUUUUGACAAUCGUGUUCUAGAGGGUUAGUUGUAUUUUGUAAUUUGUUUUGACUUUAGUUUAUGGUUUCAAGGUAGGUAUAGUAAUUUCGUUAAUCCCAUAAGUUUCGAGAGGUAUAUAAAGAAGUACUUCAUAUUUAAAUAUGUCACACAUAAGGUGUGUUACAUUAUGCUUCAUGUUUUAGGAAAUUUUCGACCUAUGUAGAGGUCUCCGAUUACAGAUACAAAGUAAAUAAGAGAAAAACUUUAUCCGAGGUCCUGUGCUAUAUCAAAAUUGUUGGAGUUGAGCAAGUUCUACUUGCGGCGUGUUGAACGUUUGGAGCUGGAUUCAGCAUCCGACUGCUUGACCCCCAACAGGCGCCUUUCAAAAUCUGCUUGUUGUUCUUUCACCUCUCUUAUUUCUGCUAGUGUUGUCACCAUUUGAUUCUGAAGCGUCCCUGUGUAAAUUUGGGUAUUUUCAUGUAGUCCUUCCAGACGACGGAUGUCUGCGGCGUUACCCUGUGUAGCAGCAUUGAUCUCACGAACUUUGGCUACUUUCUUGUCCGCAUGGUAGUUCUGGGUAGCUAUAGUGCCCACAAUAACAGGAAGUGCUCGAUCAGCUGAGCCUCCCCCACUGACAUUAUAAAAAAUCUCGACACAUGCCAAAAGGAGGGCGUACACCUAAUUGGCGGCUCCAGUAAUAGAGGUGGCUUCCCCACAUGGGAAUGGGUCCUGGUCGAUAUGGUCUAGUUUCUGGAGGAUGAGGGAUGGGAGGGUCGAUUACUUCCGGCUCGGAGUCUGUACCACUAGUAAUUUCCUCAACCUCCUCGUCGACUUCGAAUUGCUCUCCGACUUCGACUUCGAAUUCUUCUUCGACUUCCUCUUCGAUUUCCUCUAGGUCUUCUUCUAUC